RNAcentral lists this long non-coding RNA (65926 nucleotides) under Triticum aestivum (bread wheat). RNAcentral describes it as "long non-coding RNA (TAES_LNC020532)". The stretch from base 10005 to 10139 matches the Rfam family "MIR1120/MIR1122 microRNA precursor family". The record is from RNAcentral. Lineage: Eukaryota; Viridiplantae; Streptophyta; Magnoliopsida; Poales; Poaceae.
GGACACAUGUGUGCUUGAGCGUUGGAUUUGGAUGAAUCUUUUCUUUCUGAGGGACUAUCGGUUCCUGGACCGUUCCACCUCCAAGUACAUUUGUCUGAACUAGAUCGACGAUCUUGCCCUGGGGGCAGGCGGGAAGAAGGUUGACGCAGACACAUACCCUAUGUCCUGACGAUGCACGUUGCCUGGCUGAUCAGCUUUGUUCCGAGUGCUCUUCCUAGUACCGACUGCCUGUUUAGCUGAUUUCUUGUCAGCAACGUGUGGAGCAGCUUUGGAAACAGUGUGCGUAUGAGCAGCACGAUCAUGCGGGCCAGCCUGAUGUCCUUGUUGCGUGACUGCCGGACCCUUGUUUUGAACAGCAAUUGAGGCAGCCAAACUUGUGCAAUCUUUACCUACUGACUAAGGUUUGUCAGACGUAUCAACAAUGGAGUUUGGUGCAUUCACCUUAGGCUGGUGUGGUUGGUGUGGAAGAUCAGACAGUAGUGGGCUACCUUCGAGCCCUUGCCUCAUCGAUACCAAUGCCGGUGCAACGUCAGCUGAUCUUGGGGAGAUCAAUUCAUUAGAGCCCCCUGAUGUUGCACCUUCAUUGCCGGUCAACACAGCAACAACAGAUGACAACAACUUGGCUGCUGCAUGAGAACUAGUGGCAGCAGAUGCUUUAACGAAGUCCACAUUGUCAGAUGAAGCAAGCUUAGCAUGCAUGCGCUGCAAGGGGUCUUUCUUGGAAUGUUUAGUCGUAUGAGCAGACACAUUGCUUCUCUUCUUUAGCCUGCAUGUAAGUAAGGUAGUAACAAAUAGAAAGGUUGUAAGUUGCCGUGCAUGAAAGUCAUAAGUGAAAAAAUUGACUGUGGUGUAAAAUGAAGGUUAAAGGACUGCAAAACAGAGGGGGAAAAGUUGGAAGUAUGAAAGAAGCAGAAAAGUUGCCAUGUGGUUAAUAAUUUGUAACUAUGAACGAAGAUAAGAUGAAGCAGAAAUAGAAAGUGCACAUGAUGUGGAUCAGUAGGUAGUAAUGAAAAGGCAUUUCUGUAGGGGUCCAAGUUACCACAUGGAGGGUACCCCGAAAGUUGGGACAUGUGGUAGAAGAAAAAUGUAAUGAAGUAAAGUUGCCACCUUAGCAGGUAUGAGAGCAAAAAAGUGGGGGUGACAUAAGUGUGCAAGGUAAAAGGUUGCCAUGUAUGGACAUCUAAAAGUUAUCAUGUAAAUGUAUGUAAAGGUAGACAUACAAAAACAUAACACUUAAAAAAUGUACAUAUGUCGUAGUGCUAACCUUUUAGCCACACCCCUCAUGUCCUCAAGGACAACCGAACCUCCCGUGUUGGAGGACAUGAAGCGAGGAGAUGAACGUAUAGUCGUCUGAGCCUUGCCUGCACGAGCAGAAGAUCUGGGAGGCUGUUGGGCGAUUUUCUCGGUGGUUACUCUUCCGCCAGCGGUUGCCUCCCUACGAGAAAAACAAAAAAGCAUUAGUUGCCGAGUGGGAAGUAUGAAGCAGAAAAUAGAUGUAAUAAAUAAAUAAAUGAUUUAAAAUUGCAAGAAGCAGUGGUGAAGAGGAAAGUAUACCGCUUUCUAGCAGCAACGGGGUCUUGUGCUUCCCUAACCCUAUAUGAGGCUUGAGUACCAGAACGACCGCCCAAACCCUAUACGAUGGAUGUCUCAGCACCUCCGCAAUUGUGCUCAGGCGACGUGUCAUGCUCGUUGUCGUCCAUUCUGUUAUCGCCAUCAUUACGGGCUUCGUCUUGCGGUUCAUCGUCGUUGAAGUCACUAUCGUCAACUGAUAAGUCUUCAUUGCUAGGGGGUACCUCUUGCGAAUCGUUGUGGUCAUAUCUACCACUAGACCCAGUUGGACGAGAAGUGCCACCGCGAACAAAAGAACGAAACUGGUUGGCAACUUCUUCUCUGUCACCAGCCGACAUUGCAGUCCAGCCCCAUACAAGGUUGCCAAGGAGGUUGGUCAUACCGGACGCAAACUGUCCAACGAGAUUCUCGACGUUACUUCGCGCUUGCAUUUGGAAAACACAGAAAGAAAAAAUGGAAGAGGCCAAAAAUGCUCAGCAAAGGGUAUGAGUUAUGUUGGAAAAAUUGAUGCAUAAGAAAAAGUUGUGUGGUACUAACAGUUAAAGGGCAUGCAUCAUUUGUGUGACUGUCCAUCCAUUUGCCGAAGUUGUCGGGGGGGCCAAAGAUGUUGUAGUCAACAUUAUGCUCUCCCAUAAGCUGAAAAGAAGAAGAAGAAAAGGUGGCAAGUUUGAAAAGUCGGUAAAAAGAUGAAAGUAAACUAAAUUCAUCAAUGAAAUGUGAGAACUAAAUUUGGCAUGGUCAAUUAUGAAAUUGACCAUGAUCGACAAAAUGCAUUUGCAAUGGUGAAAUAACUGAAUUUCCCAUGUUGAAGUUAUCGUUUGAAGUGGCAAUUAGCGGUCAUUUUUCAUGGCAAGAAAAAUGUGAAAAAUGGUCGCAACUAUUUGAUGGACGGCGAGUUUGCCAUGAUGCAGGAGAACUUUCUAAGUGUGCCUUGUUGAAGUGAUAAUUGUAAGGGGCAAUUGUAUAGAUGUACAACAGCAUGGCAAUGAAGCCAUGUGAGCUGAGUUAAAGUUGCCAUGGGGUAAAUGUAUAGUAAAAUUUAUGAUUUAUGUAGAAAACUAAAUUGCUAACGAUAAGACAGGAAAGAAUUGGGCCAUGGGCCAUAAAGUAUAGUUCGGAUAGAAGGACUAGCCUGUAGCUUGCCAAAUGUCCCAUCGGGCUUCCUGUCCGCAGCGAGAACAGCCUUGAUUGCAGCAUCAGUCCAAGCACACGCAGCAAAUCUGUGAGGUGCAGGCAGUCCACCAACCGGGUUAAGUUUGACAGUGUUGAUGUCAAGCUUAUCGACAUACAUGAGCUGAAGAGAAUGUGUGAGACAUGCAGGUCAAGCCACUGGCAUAGAAAAAAAAUUGUAAUGCGUAAAAUAAGUAAGAAAGCAGAGUCGAGUAUGGGAAGGGGUGCGAAUAAGAAUAUAAAAGAAAGAUGGUUUGGCAUUAAGUAAACUUGCCAUCAGAUGCAGCCGACAGCCUUUGUUGAACGCUUUGUUUGACAGUCAAGUGUGAAGGAAACCAACUAUGAACUUGCACCAGUUCAUGUUGGCAACAUUCCCUAUCUGGUCCUGUGAGAUGGAGGAAAUGACAAAAGAACAAGGAAAAAAGCGCAAGCUGCGGCAUUAUUUUGGUGAAAAAAAGGAGGUAAUGGUCUUCAAAGCUAACAAAUGAAAAUGAAUGACUAAGCAGGUAAGGUGCACGCGGGGUACAUGGCAAAAAGUUCAUACCAAAACAGGGAAGCAUCUGCUGCUGGGCCAUAACGAUGUCAUGGAGCAAACACAUUUGAGAUGAGGUACAUAAGCAGCUUCCAUCGCAGCAAGCAUGUUCGCGAAAGCAGAGUUCAGGAAAAAGACGUGAUUGCACUUCCGUAUCUUGUAUGGGACAUCCAUGCCGCCAUUGGGGACACCAAGUGUAUUGAAAACAGAUUCCUCAUCAAGUGGAAUCCUACCACGUCCUGGUAUGACAAAUUCCCUCUUGUCCGGAUGGUAUAACCUCGCAAACCAGUCACACAUGGGGUUAUUUAAGUUAGUGCACUGAAUGUUCAUCAACGCCUGCAUACCGAUUUCCUUUGCAGCUUCUUUCUGGGCAUCAUCGAAAUCUUCAUACAGUCCCGUUAGGCGUUCAUGUGAUCCCCCUAUUGCGUGCGGCUUUCUGCUGUUAAACACAUGUGCAAAAAUUUAAGUUAGAAAAGGUGAUAAUAUGGGCUUAGGGGUUGGUACCAUCACAGACAAAAACAUGUUUAACAUGAAAAGGAAAGAUAGAGGCAUGUGGACUGUACAUACCUUCUUUGCAUUCCGGUUAGCAGCACCCGCAACUUCAGCUCUGGGAGGCAUGAAGUCAUCAUCGUCAGAGUCAGGGGCGUUCCGAACCAUAGUGCUGCCAAAAAAUGUCAACACGAAACGUCAGUGCACCCUGAGUGGUAAUAAAGUUGCCAUCCUAAAGCGUGAACUAAGUAUGUGUACUAGAAGAUGACAGCUCAGAAAUGUGAAGCACAAAUAGUAAGAAUGUUGCCAUGUGGCUGAUGGUGAAGUCACACUAACAGUGCGGCAGGUGGUGAGAAAUGACAUGCAGAAGAACUAGGACAUGUACAUAUGUUAAGUAUGCAAAAGUUGCCAUCAAAAAUGGAAAUAUAUCUGCAAAAAAACAAGAUAAACAGGUAUGAUAGCACUGUAGUUCCAUCCACAGUAUAGAUGGGACAUGUGGUAAAUUGCCAUCGACUAAGCCGUAGUCAGCAGAUAAAGAAAGCGGAAACAUAGUUCGCACGAUUCACUCUCUCUGAAAGUCACACGUAUAUAUGUACGAAAUUGUAGUUGACAGUAGUAACGUCAGAAACUUGCCAUCAGCAUGAACGGGGUGAACACUAGGAAUGAAAGGAAUCUCACAUCGCAGAGAGACACGAUAAAAACGUACUUUGUGUAUGUUGCAAAGGUAGCAUCAAUUGUCUGUACAUAUUGAAAAAAGGUACCUCUCUAGCAAGAAAACAGAGUGUACUCUGGUAUAAGCAGAUGAAAAUGCAGAGUAUAGCAGACAAAAAUAUGCUUGAUGAACAACUUUGGAAAGAAGUUGCCAUCCACUGUCUAGUAGACAGUCAAACAAGUUGCCGCCUAGGUAUACUAUUGAAGCUAAUAAGUUGCCAUCCCCGAAAAAAUAGUGCAUUCAUAUUUUACUCUAAUCAUGGCAACAAACCACAUGGGAGGUUCAAAAAAUGCACUGCACUGACAUCAGUUUUGUAGAUGUAGCACUCCAACAAAUCACUUUGCUCUGCCAUUCAUAUUCGUGGACCUAGCUUAAGAACAAAAAUUCCGUAUGUCACUAUGUUGCAACGACGGGUUUGGGAAUCUAGCCUAAGAACACACACCCACACACACACACACAACAUGUGGAACCAUCCAUAGACGACACGAAGAAGUGUGUGCGUUGAAAACUGACCUCACCGAGGAGACAGAAGCUUCGACGGUCGCCGGAGAGGAAAUCCGCCGAGGAGUAGCUCCGGUGAGCAAGCGCUUGUACACCCAAUCUCCGACGAAAAAUCGCCGUCACCUCGCACGCAACCUCCGCUGGAUAGCUUCUUCCGGACGAAUCAAUCCACUCGCCGNNNNNNNNNNNNNNNNNNNNNNNNNNNNNNNNNNNNNNNNNNNNNNNNNNNNNNNNNNNNNNNNNNNNNNNNNNNNNNNNNNNNNNNNNNNNNNNNNNNNNNNNNNNNNNNNNNNNNNNNNNNNNNNNNNNNNNNNNNNNNNNNNNNNNNNNNNNNNNNNNNNNNNNNNNNNNNNNNNNNNNNNNNNNNNNNNNNNNNNNNNNNNNNNNNNNNNNNNNNNNNNNNNNNNNNNNNNNNNNNNNNNNNNNNNNNNNNNNNNNNNNNNNNNNNNNNNNNNNNNNNNNNNNNNNNNNNNNNNNNNNNNNNNNNNNNNNNNNNNNNNNNNNNNNNNNNNNNNNNNNNNNNNNNNNNNNNNNNNNNNNNNNNNNNNNNNNNNNNNNNNNNNNNNNNNNNNNNNNNNNNNNNNNNNNNNNNNNNNNNNNNNNNNNNNNNNNNNNNNNNNNNNNNNNNNNNNNNNNNNNNNNNNNNNNNNNNNNNNNNNNNNNNNNNNNNNNNNNGAUCUCGCCGAAGAGAACGAAGUGUGCGGGCGGUACUGAAACCACCCAGCGAGCGGUGGGGGAGCGGCGGGGAGAGGGGUGCAAUGCGGAUGGGAAACGCGAGCAACUGGAGAAGAGGGAGGGGAAAAGGGGGCGCGCGGCGGCGGUUUCACCGUGGUGUACGACAACUGCUCGGCGGAGUGGUGGGGAAGGAGAAGUGGGGUGGGGGAGGGGAGUUCGGACCGAGAGACCGUUACCCCUAACGGGUGCUGGCUGUCCUACGUGGCAUCAGCUCGCGUCAAGAUUCGUGCAAACUGGACGUACGUCGAUCAGCGCAUUCGGACCAAGGGGCUGUGAACGCGGGCGUUCGGGAGUUAUCGAUUCCAAAAAAGUAUGAAUAAACAGUGUCUUUUGAUAUAAGAUCUUUUGUGGAUCGUUAAAGUACUGAUCCAAAAGAUUUUACAUUAGUUUACAGAGGCAAAGAAUAGUUCAAUGUGCACAAUGUAAACUUUGAAGUCCCCCCGCAACCAAAACGAAAAAACAAUUCGUGACCCGGAAGGACAGACGGACUUUUCACAUACAAAAUUCAGCUGUCCCAGUUUCUUCUACGCAAGAUAGGUAGUAGGCAGGAAUAGAAGUGAAUCUACCCAAGCACAAGCCAUCCAGACUAAACAACAGCACUCAUGCGUACAAGGCCCUGAUGCAACUGUGUUUCUUUACAGAGUGUGCGGGCAAAACUCCAACCGGCACCGCCAUCUCAUAAAUAACUUACCCGUAUCCUGCUAUCUCUGGCUGCUUAAAGUUUACCUCUCUCAAGUAGCUAAAAGCUCUUUACGAGGGAAAAGGAUCCCCAACUAGUUUGUGCAUACAGUCAAAAUGUACAACUAUUCACAGGGAAAACAUACAAAACUUUUCAAGUCAAACUGUGGGGUUUGCGCCCUAGCCAUAUUCGAACUGUACGGUCAUCACUUGCGGAAGCCAGCAUCUGGGGCCUCGCGGGGUUCCAGCUUACACAAUUUACAGUCAUUGAGUGCCCAUAUAGGACCUUUAUCGGCAUCUCCAUGCAUCUUUGCCAAAUGUACACCUGCCCAUUAUCUCUACGCAUCAGCAAAACAGAAACGCUCAACAAGAGCACAAGAAAACAGAUGUGAACUCUUCCCAUUGUUUCGCAUUCGACACGAGUUUUGCUAUUUGUAUCCUACAUUUCUAUAGAUAAUAAAGGUCAUACAGCAGGUUGAUUUAAACAUUAGUGUGAUUGAUCACAAAAGUUUGUGUUGGUUUGUCUGUAGUGGUCCUCUAAAAUUCUACUAUAUCACCAAGUUUGUUUGCAUGUAUUGGAGUACAUGCCAACUAAUGUGUCUGCUUCCACUAGUUAAUAGUGCUAAUUUAGCAAAACUGCAAACCAAAGCAUGCCCUCUUCAACACAAACUUGGUGAGUCUGCAAUGAUCAGCAAGAAUACUGGUAUUUCAGGUAUGAAAGAAUACUACUUCUGGCUAUGCGAGUCUGCAAAUUCAGCAUCGCUCCUCACGGAGAAGGUAUAGUGCAAGAGAAUAAAACCUCCAAAUGCAUGGUACUGCUUUAUUCUAAACAAAUGCCAUUCCUUGUUUCAAAAUACCACCUAACAGGCUCAGGUACGAGAGGUUGAUUAUAUUGCAUACGCAGGCUGAGAAUGGAAUCUAAGCAAGAAGUUGAAAUGGAAGCAGGCCAAGAUUUCUUCGAAGGGAAGGUUAAAUUCUUCAAGAGGGUGUACCUGUGAAUCCUCACUGCCGCUAGCAAUGAAAUGAUAGUCUGAUCCCCCAAAGCAUGAUCUAAUCACAAACUUUCCUUGCUUGUGCCCCUUGAAUUUAUCGGGCACUCUAGAACUUCCAUUGGUUUUCCACAAAUGAAUUUCCUGACUAUUAAGGUUGACAAUCAUUGACUGUCCAUCACCUGAAAGAGAAAGAGAUGAAAUUGUCUGCCGUUCAGGAAUUUUCCAUUCCCGCCCCUUCCGAAGUUCUCGAAACCAAAUUUCGUUGGGACAUACACAGAUUAGAUGUUUGCCAUCAGGUGUCACAGCAAGAUCACUAACUUUGGGUAUUCUCUCUCCAGCCCACAUUUCCAGUUCUUGGCCUUCUAGGUCACAAGUGAAAAUCAUAUUUGGAGAACUUUCAGGUUCAGAGCUGGCACAUACUAUUUUCUCUGAAUUUGGAAACCAUGCACAUGACGCGAUGAUGUGUUUUACUGCAGCACCAAAUUUAAGAUUGCAUUCACCAGUAUCAACAUUCCACAGUCUUAAAGAUUCCCCAUUACCACAAGUGAGAAGCAUUCUAUCAUUUGGGCUCCAAGCAACAAAAGAAAUAGGACUUUUGUGACCCUCGAGGCAGUACUUCUUGGUUAAUGUAUCAUCUUCUUCCACCUACAUCAUCUCCAGGGGUUAGACAUGACAACAAUUUGAAGUUGUAAUACAAGCGAGGAAAUGAGUUAACAUAACACAUAAAUUGUAUAAAGACUACAUGUGAAUGCCAAUAAAAAACAGGAUAUUCUUGUGGAUGAAAACAUGUGAUUUUACAAAAGGCUGGUUACAAUAUUCAUAUUAUAAAUCGCGCUUACUACCUUUAAACGAGCUGUAAAAAUAAAAAAUAAAUAAAAUCAAAAGGACGCAUAGUCAUAACUCAUAACCUCACACCUUGUGGUGCAUGUAUAUACUUAACAUACUUACACCCUCAUCUCUCCACUAGCUUCGAAUAGGAAACAUCAAUGAUGAUCAACAGAAAAGGGAACAUAGGCAACAGUGGUAGGCUUUUGACACAUCUUACAGUGCGUACAUGAGAGCUAUGAAAUGUCAUUUACUUCACUCAAGAUGUACAUUUUCCAUGCACCCCUUGUACAAACGAAGUUCAAUUAGCAUAAAUAGACCCGCCUAUAUGAUCUUUCAUGAACCCAGUUAACUUAUACAGUGAUCUUCAUAACGACACAAAUGCACGUGACCGCAUUUAGUGUUUAUUUAACCAACUUGUCUCUAGUUUCGUGACUAUUUUCCCAGAUUAUAGAAUAAGCACAUCGCAGCACAGUUCAGCAACCGCAAACUGAGCCUAAGUCUUCACAGGUCCAGUUAAAAUGAAGUAUAUGAACAAACCAGAAAGAAGACCAAGAUCUCACAUGAGAAGCAUGAUCUUCCCAAGCCCAGGUUUGUAUCACUACUCAGUUGAAUAUAGUCCCAUCUUCCUAUCAUAGCAUAAAAAUUGGAAGAGAAGACGACAUUAAUCAUCUGAAGAGAGAUAUCGUGGUAAUAUGCAUAUGCCAAUGAUGAAUGAUGGGAAUAUGAUACAAGAGGACGGCAGAAAAGGCCGUAACAAAAGCAAUGAAAGUAUGAACAGGAAAAACUACUGCCAGUCGUAGGUGGAAAUCAGUAUGGUCUCCAACAAUCAUCUUUUCACAUCGAUAUCCAUAGCAAUAUAAAAUAACGAAACUAUAAAAUACUACUAUACUAUGGAAGUAAUUCAGUGUUAUGUCGUACAAGUAAUAAUAAAAAAGAUUGAACAAAUUAGUGGCUAAAAUUCGAAAUGGUUUGACUACAUGUACUCGAAAACAUCAUGUAUUUUGACUUGUUCAUGGGUGGCCCAGCCUGGUAACAUCAAAAUGGCAAAACUUUUCUUAUUCAGAGAAAACUCUGAAACUAACUAAUUAAUUUGGAAAAAUAAUUAAAUGCAUAACUUUAUUCAGGGAUUUUUUUAUCAGGGAAAUGGCAAAACUUUCCUUAAGCACAGAACAGUUAUCCUUUCUUAAGCAAAGAAUAAAAAAUAAUCAGAAGCUCUCUAGAAUCCCACUUUUCUUCAACCAGGCCCCAGAGCCAUGGCAAACAUGGGAGAUGAGCUCCCAGGUGGCCAAUCAAGGGUGAGGGCUCAUGGCCCUCCUAAAUAUAAGUCUUUCUAGAGAUUUCACCAUGGACUACAUACGGAUGUAUAUAGACGUAGUUUAGAGUGUAGUUCACUCAUUGUGCUCCAUAUGUAGUCUCUUAUUGGAAUCUCUAAAAAGACUUAUAUUUAGGAACGGAGGGAGUAGGUGGCUGGGUGCUUUACUAGGAGCCAAACCAGAAGCAAGAGAAAGAUGCAUAUUUCUCCUAUGCACUGCCUUGAAUAAAAUGUAUCCAUCAUGAAUGAAGUUCUUAGUAAUGAUCAGCCAACGAUCAUAUGUAACAAGGAUAUCUGAUAAGGUUGACAGAGUGUAAACUAUUCAUAGUCAGAUUCAGCAGAGGUAAAGAGCGUCCUUAAUAUAAAUGUGUCACGGUGAAUACUACACCUCCAAGAGUUCAACUGAAAGAGUAUCUCACUGCGGAUAGUACUUAAUGCAGUCAGCUUAUCUACAACUCUGGGAGUUUGGAGCAAGCUCUGUACUGAUAAAUACUCCCUCCGUUCCGAAUUACUUGUCUUGGAUUUGUCUAGAUACAGAUGUAUCUAGACUCAUUUUAAUACUAGAUACCUCCGUAUCUAGACAAAUCCAAGACAAGUAAUUUGGAACGGAGGGAGUAUGUCGUAUUGCACUGCUUGUUUGAGCAAUGCUCCAAGAGUUAAAUAGUGCUGUCAGAGUAAAACAGUUUAUUCACUUUAUAUUUUAAUGAUGUCAGGUAUAGCUGGGAGCAGAAAAACAAGACUAUUCUAUUGUGCCCUGAAUCUGAUGGUUCUGCUUCAAAAUUCUAGUGCCAGGAAAAAUAGAUAUAAUCUUAGCAUUAUUUAUGCAAGUAACAAGGCACGUUACUUUUCAGGUCAAUGUUAGGGUGUGUAAAACUAUACCUUCCAUAUGAUGGCAGUACAAUCACUUGAAGAUGAUGCCAGGUAGUUCCCAUCAUUUGAGAACCUUACAAACCAAACUUCGUUUUUAUGAGCACAUAAUAUCUGCAAACAGGCAUAGAAAUUUCAAGUAUCCAUCUCUGCAAUACGGCCCCAGCACCCAAGCAUGGACUAUGUCUAUUCAUUUAGGAUACACAAAUAGUGUACGUAAACAGUCGUCCCCUUUGAUAAACAAAAUUAAUAAUUGUGUGGAUAUUGGUUUUAAAAUAUUAUAAAUCAUAACCAUGUCACUUAGGAUUAAGCAAUGUUUGAAACCCAGGGUAAACCUGUACUGAACAGUAAGUUUUAUGUGAAUUAGCAUGGUGGCUAUGGAAAGCAUACAAGCGAAUGAAGCAGAUUAAUCUACACUUCAAGUGUAAAGAUUACAAAAUGAUACAAGUCCUGCCUCGCCGAUGGAAAAGGAGCAUGUGGUACUUCUGAAGCACAAGUUCCGGUUGAAUGAUAAUUAUAUGCUUCCAAUAGUCAACACAGGGAGGGAUGAAGCUGCAGAUAUAGCAACAUCAUGGGACAGAAAUUUAAAGACCUUAUGUAAAUAGACAUGCUGGAGUGUGCUCAGCGAACUACUCAAUAGAAGUUGCCGUAUUCAAAUUUCUGCUUCGAUAACUCUAGUUUCUGAGUAUGGCGCACGAUUUCCCAUUUUCUUGGCAGGCUAUGAAAUUUAUCGAGAAGCUGGUAAGAAAAAACAAGAAUUACAAGAACUCACACCUGUGUACAGUCAGAAGGGAUCUGCUCUUCAUGGCACUUGUGAUCCUCAAAUAGAGUGACCUCAUCCGGCAGAUUAUGGUAUAUACACGAAGCAACCUGCUGAAUAACCGCAGUCUCCACCAAAUGCUCAAGCCGCCCACUUGGCACCCGGAACCAUGGCGGCAACGCCUCAACCAAAUCCAAGAAAAGCCCAAUCCUGCACUCAGCCACAGCCUCUGGUGCAACCGCGCCCUCGGACGUGACCACUGCGCGUGCCAGCCAGUGCACACAUCUUCUGUCGAUGGCAAGAGGGGCGAUCCGACGCGAGAGCACCUCCGUUGCAAGGCGUAGACCAGCGUCCCCAGUGCCCAGCAGCUCCAGGAAGUGCCCUCUCCACACCAAAAACUCGGCAACCGCACGGUUCCUCUCGGUAAUGCCGGUAAGAGAGUCAAUAGUGGCCGCGCACGCGUCCCACCGGCCGGACAUUACGUCGAGCAGCAGACGGUCGUGCUCCGGGGGGUACAGUGGCACACCGGACUCCGCCUCGAGCGUGGCUGCCGCCUUCCGGUAACCGAGGGAGUAGAGCGACUGCGCGAUGAGCCGCACGAGCUCCUCGUGGCGUGGGGUCUGCCCCUUCUGGACCGCGGCAUGGGGGAGAGAGCUCUCGGGCUGGUCCAUGGACACGCCGAAUUCGCCAGCUUGAGGGAUUUUACGCCCCCAGCAACAGCAAAACCCGGAAAAGGGACGUCAGCUGCGGAGAGAGUGAUUCGGAAGAACCGUCGGAUCAAAACAGCCGGAAAAAGGAACAAAAUUCUGCGCUUCGAGGGACUGGAGAAGAACAGCUGAUAACUGGUCAAAAUCUGCGCGCCCGAUGACAGGAAAAAUUGGAGGAGAACUCGAAAUUCCGAGAGCUUCUUGGUGUGACGACGCGAUUUUGGAAGAGGUGGUGUGGGAUUUUGAAAUGAUCAGAUCAAAUUUGUGGGGAGUUUUGGUUUCCUUGUGGAUCUGUGGGCCGAUAAAAGUAGAUAUUUUGGGAAUGCAUACACAGCUCGGACGGUUGUUUUCGAACGGGACGCUGGAGGGGCCGUGGCCGUCCAUUCUACACUGGAGUUGAAUCCGAGCCGCCCAAGCUCACUAGACGAGGAUAAGAUCGGCGGUGGGGUCCCGAGUUGGUUUUGUUCUCUCCCUCCAUUGAUGAUGCAGACCACUUCUUCCCCACGUCCGGGUUCAUAAUCUCCCUCGGAUUUUAUGUUAAAAUUUUGAUCAUAGAUUUUAUAUUAGCAAAAAAUAAUUAUAUACAACAAAAAUUAUAUUAUUGGAUGCAUGUUUAAAUAAUGUUUCAAAUGAUAUAAUGUUUAUUACAUGAACUUAGGAUUUACUAGUAGUCAAAUGUAUGAUCAAAUUUGACACUAAGUACGAAGAGGACUAAUAAUUUUGGAUGGCGCAAGUAAUGAAUGAAGCUCAUGAAGACUAGCCCUACUAAGGGCCUGCUCGGCAACGCUCCAGCUCUCAGCUUCGUUAACUCCAUGCAUGAAGCUGAGUCGAACGCUCUAACUCCAGGAAGCGGGCGACCCGUUUUAGUGCAAAAAGGAAGGAGUUGAGGAAGCUGCCCUUUUCCAGAUCUGUAGAAACCAAGAAGUUGGAGUUCAGGCUAAUUACGACGGAUUGCCACCGCCAAGUGAGUUUCACGUACCGGUUUGAUUUUCUUUCCCAAACUCUCUCUCUCUCUUUCUCACGUUGCCCAUUUGCUUUGGGCCUCAACUAGGCCACAGCCCCGUGACAAAUCCUGCCAAAUGGGCUAGCAACCCUGUGCCUAACGACAGAAGCCGAAGUUGUAUUCUGAACGCUUUUUAAAUCGCCACCUGAAGUGAGAAGCGGUACGAGAAGCUGAAUCUAGGAAGUUUUGGGGAAGCUGGGCAGUUUCAGAACAGGCCCUAAGUUUCGGGUUGACAGCUACUUAGUUCCGGAUCGCCAAUCACCAAGGCCUUGUACAAAGCCUAGAAAUACGCCACUUUUGUUCAAUAAUGAAUUUCUAUUUCAAAGAAGACAUUGGGCAACUUAUGUUAGAUAAUUAUCAAGAAAGAGUAGUUGAUACAAUUAAAAUGACACAAAAUGACCUGCAAAAUAUAAAAUUACAACCAAAAACGUAUUGCUCGUGUUUUACCUUAGAGUACACUGUCGUUCGGAGCUUGAAAAUGCACUAAACCAGCCAUUGAAGGACGCAAUAGCCAUUUGCUGCCAGAAACAAUGGUCGGGCAAUCGAUGAACUCGACGUUCUAGGGGAUUGUGGGUGCAAUGGCUCAUACCUUCUUUUAGUGAUCCGGUAAAGUAACAGAAAGUAUCAUGCACCUUUUCAUAGGUGACCCUGAAUAAUCGAACCCACGAGAGGAAGGCUUCCUUGAAGCGAUGGUCUCUAGCAAGCUUUCGUUAAAGGAUCAAUUUCAGCUUUUGACCAUAACAAUCAAGCAAAUGGUGAUUCAAACACUUGUAGUAAAAAUAGGUACGAGUAUAAGGUCUUAAUGCUUACAAUCAUGUAUUUGUGUUGGGACCAAAUAUGGUCUUAAUUUGUGCGCUGGAAGUCACCCAUCGAGAUGUACUUGUUACGAAUCAAAGUGGGGGAUGUGUCCAAAUAACAUCUUAACUGACACGGGUCCUGCAUCAAGAAUAAGUUGUCCUACCGCAGGCCCUAUUCAUCGAUAAUUAAGCCUCGAUAACUAAGAUUAAAAUAAUCAGACAUGAGCUUUAGGCGUUAAUGACUACACCUCAUGAAUCCCCAAGGAUUGGAUCUGUGUUACCGUAACCCUUCUGUCACUAGUGUUCAGAAUAACACUUCACCUUCUCCAUGUCCUUAGCCUCUCCGUGGCUCGGUCUCCAUGAUCCUGGAUACCUGCGAGGAUGAAGAUCGCGGACGAGACAACAGACAUCUAUGAAACAAUUUCGUUCACACAUACGGGAUGUUAAUUCAAAGCACUUUCAUUGAUCCCUACAACAAAUACAAAGGGUUGCAAGGCCUAUGCCUCAACCCAUACCUUAUCGAACUACUUACGCAUGAAGAUCGGAUCGCAAGAAGAACACAUUAAACAACACAUCUUGAAGAUCGGUGAAUGCAAAUAUGUCUUACAAUGAAUGCCUUGUGCGGUGCACGAUUACAAGUAUGAACUAGAGGGAGAUGGACUAUGAUGGUGAUGGCGGCGUCUAGGAUUUGUGAAGGGGGAUGACGAUGGUUCUGUUCUGGCUUCAACCGACGAUGUUCUGUUGACAUCUCGAUGUGGUCCCGUUUAUAGAAGUUGUUUAGGUGGAGGAGGCACCUCAGAAUUCGCACCAUACGACCACUCAUACGAGCGCUUGCGGCCGUAUGGAACACCGUCUUUUGUGUUAUCUUCGCUUGUGUGCCUCCUGAUGAUUUCUUAUAUCUCCAUUUCCACUCCUUUCCAUGUUCACAUGGAUUUCUUCCCCUUUUAGCCCAUUUCCUGUGAAACCCCAUCAAAGAGAGGAUUUGUGCAAUCCUUUGCACUCAUUAGUGUAAGGGCAUAUUUAUCCCUACGGUAUUUUGGUGAUUGAUGACAAUGCAUUUGCGGACUAAUCAUGUGCCUCGAGUAUUUCAGAUAUUUCAUUACUAGGCACAAGACGGUCAGGAGCCCCUCGAAGAUUAUUGAAGAUGGUGUUUUUCUACGUUCCUUUUUCGGUGGAUUUGAGUCGUAGGAAAGUCGUACUAUUAAGAGGGGGUCCGUUUGGAAAGGUUUGGGUGGAAUCAUCACGUACACGUUUACUCCUCUUUGCACCGCCUUUCCCUUAGCACUUUGGAGCAUCCUCCGUUUCUUUGUGUUUGUGCAAAAAGAAGAAUUCCUAGUGUUGCUAUUCUGGGGCUUGCGGUAGUACUGCUCUUCGGAGCGGUAGUACCACAGGCCCCUGCGAUAGUACCGCAGGCCUUUGCGGCAGUAGCGCAGGUGGUCACGAUAGUACAGCUCCUUGGGAGACGUAGUACCGUGAGUCCUGGUCCGGCACAGCACCAUAAGCGGAAGUAGGGACGAAUGUAAUUUUUUACAUCCGCUCCCUGUGCGGUAGUACCGCAUGCCUUGAGCGGUAGUAACGUGUCGGAUUUUUACACUGUUUGAAAAUCAGCGGAAGUUGCCACGGACGUUUCUUUAUUUGUCCGUGCCCUUCCCAGGCUGGUCCAAUCCUACCUUGCGGCAGUACCUGAUGAGGACAUGACUACCUUGGAUACGACCAAAAAUAUUGCAUACAUGCAUAUUUGUCAGGUGAUUUCUAAUGCAAACUAUUCAAUAGUCUAUUUAUAUUAUCCAGAACAAAAAUACUUCACACACUUUUGUGUUUUGUCUAAUUGCAGGUGUAUGGGACAUUUGUACAAUCCACAUAUGAAGAUAAGGGAAAAGGAGAUGUUUAGGUUGUGUUCAAAAAGUCCUCUCACGUCACUUUUGGGCCAAGAGAAGAUAGAGUCCAAGUCUCUCACGUUCUGGAUUCAGAUUCGGACUGCACAGACAUACCUGACUCAAAACACCAACAACUUUUUUAUACGGACUCCGAAUUGGGUGAUUCUUUUUUUGUUGGAAACUAGAUUUCGUGAUCUUUCCAUCCCAAUUGGAUUCACCUUCAAAUUCAUCCGGAGCGUUUAGUUACGGACGAAACAAUCUGACGUUGCAGCAGAAUCCAAGUCAAACUACAAGCCCAAAGGUGUUGCAUCACCUCCACUUGGGCCCAUGAGCCUUGUACGACCUAGGGUUAGUUUUAGGCUGCCUUGGGAAAUCCUCCCACCUCCUUGGCCGCCACCCCUUGCUCCUAUAUAAGUAGAUCCAUCUAGUAGCUUUUUGCUUGGGAUUUGUUUAGUUAAAAGUUAGCCAUUGCAACUUCGUGUACUUCGUUUGUGUCCAACGACCAGACCAAGACCGCUUCCGAAUCCCCACCAUUAUCAAUACUUCAUAUAUAUUUGCAAUAUUCGGAUUGCUUUAUCAUAUUCUUGCUCGUUCUUCGAUUGCUUGCAGGAAUAGACCUUCGUGGUCAGGCUGACCGUGCUUCCAGCAUCGUCAGUAACCUCAGGAGAUUGGUUUAGCGAUUGCUAAGGCGCAACGUUGUGCAUGUUUGUAGUCGGAUUGUCAAAGUCGUCUCCACCAAAUCGAUAGUUAUCAUCUUAUCGAAAGAUCGGGACCCUCGCCUCUAUCAAGUGGUAUCAGUUUUCAGGUUGCUCGGUGAGAAUUUCUAGUUUUCCUAGAUUAGAUUUAUUUUCUUACCUAUUGUCCAAGAAAAAUCCACAAAAAAGAGUUAGAUCUAUUCAUCCUUUGUCCAAGCCAGUCUGAGCCUUUGCAAUUUUCUGUUCAUUGCUUGCAUAGUUGAAUUAUCGGUUGCAUCGUCGUAUCGAGUUGCUGGUCUUAGUGUCUAGGUCGUUUAGAGUUUUGAGUUUUGUUCACAUUAGUCACGUCGCCGCUGCAUCAUUAUCCCUUCCGCUGUCCACCACCCAUCCAUCAAUUUCCUCCACGUGCUACCCACCGUUCAUUGUCAUAAUCAUAGUUGAGAUCGUUCCCAUCUUCGCUUGAUCCAAUCUACAUCUUAUCUAGUUUAUUUUGGAAAGAGGGAGAGAGAAAAAAAAAGAUAGAGAAAAAAAACGAGAGAGAAAAAAAGUAAAAAAAAGUCAGAGAAAAAAAAAGAAAGGAAAAGAAAAAAAAGUGUGAGAAAAAAAGAGAGGAGAAAAAAAAAACAAAAUUUGGAUCUAUCUAGACUCAAUCUCGUAGUUGAAUUCGGAUUGGAAUCUGUUUUGUGCACUGUUCAGUAAAACAGGCAUAACUUCUUCAUAUGAAGUCUGUUUUGGCUCCGCGAGUACUCAAAUGAAAGCUAGCGACGAGCCGCAUCUAAAUAGUUGCAGAAACUAGUUCAGUAUUUGGCACCUCAACAUCAGCUUCUAAAUAGGUCUACUGCUAUUGUGAUCUUCACUUAUAUCUUGCUGUCCAGAGCUACUUCAUAUCCUUUAUUGAUGCUAGUUGUGCUACGACGUGACCUCAUUAGUGUUCUAGGCUCGCGUCUCUAGUUUGGUCUAGCCUAGGACCAGCACAGUACCAUCGUUGAGCGUUUAUUCAACAUUGCAUCUCUGAAUUGAUUAUUGCUAAUCUUUUGCUACCAUAUAUAGCCAACCCAGCUCCACAUAUUUCUACACCGUGUAUACGUAUGUUCCCCUGGCAAUCGUUUUACACAAUCUUCGGAGUUAUUUGACACCGCUGUUUGCCUGUCACCACCUGCCGCAUGGUAAGAACUUGUAAGAUAUUGAUAUUUGCUUUACUGUGAGCACUUUACAACCACAUCCUACUAGUUCAUAGGAACAUUAUUCUCGAAUUUUGGUUCUUGUUUCUACUAAUCAUGACAGGUUCCAGAGAUAGAAGUUCUUGGAUGACGGACACAUCUUCACCAUCACGAGAGUUGGGACAACACACACAAGCAUAUGGUCAGGUUAUCUCUUUACCAUCAUUUGAGGGUAGAUUUAAUCCUGCUAUUUAUCUAGCUUGGGAGCUUGAAGUAGAACAAGUUUUUAGUCACCAUGAUUUUUCUGAACUUGAGAGAGUACGAGCUACCAUUAGAGCAUUUACUGGUUUUGCUUCUAUUUGGUGGAGUGUACAUUGUAAGAAAAACAUUGAUAACCAACCCACAACUUGGAAAGUUUUGAAAGCUGUAAUGAGACAACAAUUUUUUCCUCCUUACUAUCGUCGUGAAUUGCGUCGCAAAUUGGAGCAAUUAAAACAAGGCAGUAACACUGUUCAUGCUUACUACCAAGAGUUCAAAUCUUAUAUGCAUCAUUGUGACAUAGAAGAAUCUGAGGAUGAUACAAUGAAUAGAUUUUUUGGUGGUUUGAACCAUGAUAUUCAGGCAAGAUUUCAGUAUAUUCCUUGUUGCAUUACUGGUAUGUAUGUCCGUGCUUGUACCUUUGAGAGACAAAUACAGGAGGAUGCAUUGGGUGACUACAACAACUACUAUUCCAGUUCAUGCUCACCACCGCCGGUUGGUUACUCCACUAUUGCACCUACUAGAGCAGCCCCACCUCGGAUUGUGAGCGCGAUAUCAUCUCAAGAGUAUGGUACAUUGUCAACGUCCGUACCUACAUCAGCUACAUCUCUACGAGGUAACAGUAAAGGUCUUGAUGAUAUAACUUCACAUGAGAAUGAAGCAUGCCUAGUUAACUUGAAUGCAUCAUGUGUUGAGUUACCUGUUGAUUUGAGCACACCACCUAUUUUAGGGACUCUUUUUACUGUCAUGAAUGCGUCAUGUGAUCAAACAACUGAAAUAUCAACAAUUUUGAGUGCACCCAUUGAAUUAACUGUUGAUGCAAAAGAACCAAUGUUUAAUCAUUUUGAUAUGACCUCUAAUCUUGAUGAUGAUUCUGUGUCCAAUGACUUAUUGCAUGUUUGCUUAUUUAAGCAUGUUGUAGCAUGUAAAUUUGAUGCAAGUAAGGUUUAUUCAUCGAAGUUAGGAUGGUUUAAUGAUGAACAUUGCCAAUCUUUUGAAGUGAAUAAGAGCUUCACUUAUAUGUGCAAACUGAGUUGCAAUAUUUUCAUGCCUUCUACUUCUUGUGAUAAUUGUUUGGCUUUAGAUUUUAUGAACAAUGAAAGUUACUCAUGUAUACAUGUGACAUAUGUGCAAAAAUCAAGGGAAGUUAAAAUGGAUGACAUAUACAUAUACAACAUGUACACCUUGUCUCUUUUGUUAGCCACAUUUCAGAUUAAGCAAUGCCGAGGACGGCUUUGUUUUCAAAAAGGGGAGGAUGAUGAGGACAUGACUACCUUGGAUACGACCAAAAAUAUUGCAUACAUGCAUAUUUGUCAGGUGAUUUCUAAUGCAAACUAUUCAAUAGUCUAUUUAUGUUAUCCAGAACAAAAAUACUUCACACACUUUUGUGUUUUGUCUAAUUGCAGGUGUAUGGGACAUUUGUACAAUCCACAUAUGAAGAUAAGGGAAAAGGAGAUGUUUAGGUUGUGUUCAAAAAGUCCUCUCACGUCACUUUUGGGCCAAGAGAAGAUAGAGUCCAAGUCUCUCACGUUCUGGAUUCAGAUUCGGACUGCACAGACAUACCUGACUCAAAACGCCAACAACUUUUUCAUACGGACUCCGAAUUGGGUGAUUCUUUUUUUGUUGGAAACUAGAUUUCGUGCUCUUUCCAUCCCAAUUGGAUUCACCUUCAAAUUCGUCCGGAGCGUUGAGUUACGGACGAAACAAUCUGACGUUGCAGCAGAAUCCGAGUCAAACUACAAGCCCAAAGAUGUUGCAUCACCUCCACUUGGGCCCAUGAGCCUUGUACGACCUAGGGUUAGUUUUAGGCUGCCUUGGAAAAUCCUCCCACCUCCUUGGCCGCCACCCCUUGCUCCUAUAUAAGUAGAUCCAUCUAGUAGCUUUUUGCUUGGGAUUUGUUUAGUUAAAAGUUAGCCAUUGCAACUUCGUGUACUUCGUUUGUGUCCAACGACCAGACCAAGACCGCUUCCGGAUCCCCACCAUUAUCAAUACUUCAUAUAUAUUUGCAAUAUUCAGAUUGUUUUAUCAUAUUCUUGCUCGUUCUUCGAUUGCUUGCAGGAAUAGACCUUCGUGGUCAGGCUGACCGUGCUUCCAGCAUCGUCAGUAACCUCAGGAGAUUGGUUUAGCGAUUGCUAAGGCGCAACGUUGUGCACGUUUGUAAUCGGAUUGUCAAAGUCGUCUCCACCAAAUCGAUAGUUAUCAUCUCAUCGAAAGAUCGGGACCCUCGCCUCUAUCAGUACCGCAAGGGGGUGCGGUAGUACCGCGCGAGCAGCAGUACCACCCCAGCUUCGUUGCUACAGGCCUGGGCUAGCUCCUGUCGUGGCCACGGUAGUACCGCGGCUUGCUGCGGUAGUACGGUGAGCCCUUGCGGUAGUACCGCUUGGUUGGUGCGGUAGUACCGCGGGUCGCGGGCUGGUUAAGUGAAUAACGGUUGGAUUUGUCUCUCCACUAUAUAAGGGGUGUCUUCUUCUCCGAGUUGACCACCUCUUCUAACCCUAAGCUCCAUUGUUGCUCCAAGCUCCGUUUUCGCCCGAUCUCUCUCCCUAGCCAAUCAAACUUGUUGAUUUUCUGGGGAUUGGUUGAGAAGGCAUCGAUCUACACUUCCACCAAGAGAAAUUUGACUCCCCCACUAAUCCCUUGCGGAUCUUGUUACUCUUGGGUGUUUGAGCACCCUAGAUGGUUGAGGUCACCGCGAAGCCAUAUUCCAUUGUGGUGAAGCUUCGUGGUGUUGUUGGGAGCCUUCGAUUAAGUUGUGGAGAUUGCCCCAACCUUGUUUGUAAAGGUCCGGUCGCCGCCUCCAAGGGCACCAAUACUGGAAUCAUGGCAUCUCGCAUUGUGGGAGGGCGUGAGGAGAAUACGGUGGCCCUAGUGGCUUCUUGGGGAGCAUUGUGCCUCCACACCGCUCCAACGGAGACGUACUUCCCCUCAAAAGGAAGGAACUUCGGUAACACAUCCUCGUCUUCACCGGCUCCACUCUUGGUUAUCUCGUACCUUUACUUGUGCAAGCUUAUUUGUGUUAUUUCCCUUGCUUGCUUGUGUGCUUGUUGUUGUUGCAUCAUAUAGGUUGCUCACCUAGUUGCUUAUCUAGACAACCUACUUUGAUGCAAAGUUUAAUUUGGUAAAGAAAAGCUAAAAAUUAUUAGUUGCCUAUUCACCCCCCCCCCCUCUAGUCAACUAUAUCGAUCCUUUCAAUUGGUAUCAGAGCCUCAUCUCUUUACUAAUGACUUUGCCGUCCAAAGAGUAUGGUUGACACCGUAGAUGGUGCGGAGAAACACUCCGGUGUGAAUCCAAUCUCGUCUAUGGCCGAUGGGGGAACCACAAUCUCUCGUGAGGAAUUCAUGUGGCCUUGGACACAUUGAAGACCUCCAUGACGAUCGAGGUUGAAAGCUUGUUUAACAAAUUCAUAGAAGGGCUUAAACUUUCCACCGCACCAUUGAGAGUGGGUGAUCCCACUAACAAGGUGACGAAUGCUAACUCUGACAAGGGGGAAUCUACUAGUGAUCAAGUUCCUUCUUCUAGUGGUAAAAAUGGCACCGGCAUCUUUGCCCAUGUGGAGCCUCCACUUGUCUAUGGUGGACCGAUUUCUUCCACUCAUUUGAAUCAUGCCGGUACUCCCCCCAAGAUUGUGAAAAUGAGGACUUUGAUUCUUGGGUCUAUCAUUUUAAGCGUCAUUUAAAUCAUGUGAAUACUAAUCUUUGGAGAAUCAUUGAAGAAGGUUUCUAUCCGCAUGACCGAAGCAUCUUCACUCCUAGAGAAGCCGCGGAUAAUCAAUUCGAUGAGAAUGCUAUCUUCAUCAUCCAAGAUGCUAUUUCACCCGAAGAUCUUCCUCACCUCCGGCCCUUCGCCAUGGCCAAAGAUGCAUGGCACCAAGUUGUUUCCCUCUACAGGGGAAGCACAAGCAUUCAACGCUCCAACUAUGAAGUGGUGCAAGGUGAAGCCAAUGAGUUUGCUAUGAAGGAAGAUGAAGAACCUCAUGAGCUUUACCGGAGAGUAACCAAACUCGUGGUCUCACUCCGAGAUCAUGGGAGCAAGGACACGGAUGGCAAUUGGAUCAAGCGCAAAUUCCUCAAGGCAAUGAUGCCUUACCAUAGGGCCAUGUCCUCCGUCAUUCAUCAAAGGCCGAACUUCCACACCUUGUCCUCAAGUGAAGUGUUAGAUGAGUUUGUGUCUAUGAGCAUCUUGGACAAAACUACCGACAAUGCGGUGCUAUGUUCUCAAAGAGCAAAGAAGCCCAACCUUGCAUUAAAAGCCAAGGUUAGGGUGGAAGAAGAGGACGAAGAGCAAGAAGAGGAGAGCAACCCUGAAGAUACAAAGUAUCCCUAUCAUGAACACAUGGCUCUUGCUUCAAGGCAAUUUUGGAGCAAGAAGAACUCAAGGCCCAACUUCAACAAGAACAACUCAAGUGACGCGAAGGUCAAGCAACGUAUGAGGGCUUGCUAUAAUUGUGGCAAUGUGAGUCAUUUUUUUGCGGAAUGCCCUUAUGAGAAGAGGGAAGACAAUGGUGGCAAGCUCAUCCGAAAGGACAAAGCCAAGUCUUUCCCCAACAAGAGCAACUUCACCAAGAAGACUCCUCCCAAGGCGUUGGUGGUACAAGAAGAGUACAAUGAGGAUGAUGAUGAUGAAGAUGGUGAGUUGGUUGUCAUGGCCUCCGUUGCCAUUGCGACAACUCCACGGGUGUCACUCUUUGACUCACCCAAUGAGAACAUCACCGCCAAGUGCCUCAUGGCUAAAGCCACCAACAAGGUAACCCCCAACAUCAAAACUACCAUCAUUAAUAAUCCUUCUUUGACGGAUUGCAUUGAUGGAUAUGAGGGAUCUAAUGUGGAGGAGAAUGAGUUUGAGUCCUUUAUGGGUAAACUCAAGGGUAAAUCCAAGAAGCACUUCGUUGCUCCCUUGGAACAACUUGGUGAAGCCAAUGACAUGAUCGAGGCUCACGAAGAUACUAUCUCCAAGAUGGAGGGGCAUAGUCGUGACUAUGGCGAUGAGAUUUCGAAUCUUUCCAAUGCUCUUGAGGAAGAGCGUGGUCAUUGUUUGGCUCUUGAGGAGUCACACAACGUUGAUCACGCUAAGUUAAAGAAAGAUUUUGAUCAUGCUCUUGUUGUUUCUCGUGUGCUAAACUCCGAGAAGGACAAGCUUGGGGUUGAUCUUGCUAGACUCAAAGAGGAGUUUGACUUACUUGACAAGGCUCACAAGGUCUUGAAGGGUGCUCAUGCUAGCCUCAAAGAGUAUCAUGAUCAACUUCAAGUAAAGCUAACCAAGGAAAAAGCCACUUUUCCUCAUAUGAUGUUAAUUGAUAAUGCAAAUGCUACUAACCCAUGUUGUGAGCAUGUGCAUCUUAUUGAGGAGAACGCUAAGUUGAAGGAGCAACUUGAGAAAGGUCUUGUGCCUUGCAUACAAGGCGAGAAGAACCUCAACGACCUUUUGAGCAACCAAAAGGAAGUUGUGGCCAAAGAAGGGAUUGGGUACGUGCCCAAGUCCAAGAACAACAAGAAGAAUGACAAGGCCAAACGACCUCCUCCUCUCAAGCAAACCUUUGUGAAGGAGGGAGAGGGCGCUACUAAGGAGAAGAAGAAGUACACCGUGAGGGGUAGUGAUGCCAAGAAGGACAACGCUUCCCUUCCCAACAAAGCCGGUGACUUUAACCCUUCUUAUGUGUUGUGCCAUGCUAGUGAUGGGCAUGUUUAUGCCAAAUUUGUUGGUUCUCCUUAUGAGUACAUUGAAUGGUCUAUUUGGGUUCCUAAGGCCCUUGUUACUAACAUCAAAGGACCCAUCACAAAAUGGUUACCUAAAACCAAGCAUUGAUCUCUUGUAGGUGUUUGCUUCCGGUGGGGGAUCGUGGUUGCUCGAUAGUGGAGCUACUAAUCAUAUGACCGGAAGCAAGGACUUCGUGGUGGACGUGCAAAAGAUUCCAUCCAUGCCCACCAACGUCGAGUGGGGUGACGCCUCGUCCUCUAAGGUAUUGGGACUUGGCAAGGUUGUCAUUUCUCAUGAUCUUAAGAUCGAGAAGGUCAUGUUUGUUGAGUCCCUUGCAUACAAUUUACUUUCCAUUCGUCAACUAGCACUCAUGGGUUUUGCCACCUUCUUUGAUGUUGAUACCGUGGCCCUCUUGUGGAGCAAGACUCUUAAAGUAGACUUUGUUGGGCAUGUCGAGAAUGAUCUCUAUGUGAUUAACUUUUCGGAGCGACCCACUAAGACCGUGACAUGCCUAAUGGCUAAAGUUGACGUGGGAUGGCUUUGGCAUCACUGUUUAGCCCAUGUCAAUAUGAGAUCUUUUCAAAGUCUUCUCAAGGGGGACCAUGUCCAUGGACUAACAAAUGUUAGUUUUGCCAAAGAUCGUGCUUGCAGUGCUUGUAUCGAAGGAAAGCUACAUGAAAAGGCUCACCCUCCCACGACUAUCAUUUACUCGAAGAGGCCUUUGAAUCUCCUUCACAUGGAUCUCUUUGGGCCUCCAUCUUUUGAUAGUCUUGGGGUUAGGAAGUAUUGCUUGGUGAUUGUGGAUGAUUAUUCAAGAUACAUUUGGGUAUAUUUCUUCAAGAGGAAGAGUGAGACCCAACAAACCGUCAUUGACUUUGCAAAUGAAGCUCAACGUCAACACAAUGCAAAGAUCUUGACAAUAAGAUUAGUGAUGAGGGGAUCAAACAUCAAUAUUCUGCACCUUACACCCCUCAACAAAAUGGUGUAGUGGAGAGGAAGAACCGGACGUUGAUGGAUGCGGCAAGGACCAUGAUGGCGGAGUUCAAGUCUCCAUACAACUUUUGGGCCGAAGCCAUCAACACCGCGUGUCAUGCAUCCAAUCGGCUCUACCUCCGCAAAGGCUUGAACAAGACUCCAUAUGAGAUACUCACCGGUAACAAGCCCAACCUCAAGUACUUCCGGGUGUUCGGGUGUAAGUGUUUCAUUCUCAAGAAAGGUGUUUGUUUGUCUAAUUUUGAGGCUAGAGCUCAUGAGGGCAUAUUUGUUGGUUAUGCUACAAACUCCCAUGCUUACCGUGUCCUCAAUAAGUCCAUGCGACUUAUUGAGGAGACAUGUAACAUGGAGUUUGAUGAGAAUAACAGCUCCCAAGUGGAGCAAAGUGGCACUUGUGAUGUAGGUGAUGAAAUUCCUCCCCAAGCCAUAAGAAGAAUGGGUGUUGGUUUUAUCCUACCCAUUGAUGACCCCCUUGUGGCCGAAGGAGAAGGACAGUGUUCCACUCAUGUGGAACCAUCACCAACUCAAGGCCCACACGCUUCUGAAGAACAAAGUGAAGGCCCUCAACCUCAUGAACAAGACCAAGGGCAAGAUCAACCUCAAGAUGGUGUUGAAUCACCAAGUGAUGCCCAAGGUCAAGUUCUACCUUUCAAGCGAGUCCAAGAUCAAGAGCAAGCUCAAGAUCAAGAACGAGCUCAAGACGACGCUCAAGAUGAUCAAGAUCAAGUGACCGAUCGUCAACUCUCUCCAGAGGAGGAAUUAGAGCAUCGUGCCGCCAAGAUCGCAUCCAAGCUAUCCACCAAAGAUCAUCUCAUGACAAAUGUACUUGGAAGCUUAAGAAAGGGGGUAAGCACUCAUAGACAAUUAGCAAACUAUUGUGAACAUCACGCGUUUGUCUCUUGUGUUGAACCCCAAAAGGUCUAUGAGGCGCUCGAGGAUCCGGAUUGGCUCAGUGUCAUGCAUGAAGAACUCAACAACUUCGAGCACAACAAGGUGUGGAUAUUGGUGCCAAGGCCAACAGGGAACCAUAAUGUCAUUGGAACCAAGUGGAUAUUCAAGAACAAGCAAGAUGCUCAUGGUAUUAUCAUUCGCAACAAGGCUCGUUUGAUAGCACAAGGCUACUCCCAAGUCGAGGGUAUUGACUACGAUGAAACCUUUUCUCCCGUUGCUCGCCUUGAAUCCAUUCGCAUGUUGAUUGCAUAUGCUUCUCAUCAUAACUUUAAGUUACGACAAAUGGAUGUGAAGAGUGCUUUUCUUAAUGGUCCUAUUAAUGAGUUGGUAUAUGUCAAGCAACCCCCCGGGUUCGAGGAUCCCUACUUUCCCAAUCAUGUGUACCAACUCGAUAAGGCACUCUAUGGCCUUAAGCAAGCCCCAGGUGUGUGGUAUGACCACCUUACCGAGUUGUUGCAAGAUCGUGGGUUUGAAAUUGGGAAAAUCGAGCCCACUCUUUUUACUAAGAAGGUCAAAGGGGAGUUGUUUGUGUGCCAACUAUAUGUUGAUGAUAUUAUAUUUGGCUCCCCUAACAAAGCUUUCAAUGAGGAAUUUGCCGCACUCAUGACCUCCAAGUUCCAGAUGUCCAUGAUGGAAGAGUUGAAGUUCUUUCUCGGGUUCAAAGUCAAGCAACAAAGAGAAGGAACCUUCAUCAACCAAGCCAAAUACACUCAAGACAUGCUCAAGAGAUUCAAGCUAAAUGACGUCAAGCCGGCUUCCACUCCUAUGCCCGCCAAAUGCCAACUUGACAUAGAUCCCAAUGGUAAAGCGGUGGAUCAAAAGGUAUAUCGCUCCAUGAUUGGCUCCUUGCUUUACCUUUGUGCAUCUAGACCGGAUAUCAUGUUGAGUGUGGGAAUUUACGCACGUUUUCAAGCCGCACCUAAGGAAAGUCACUUUGUGGCGGUCAAGCGAAUCUUUUGAUAUUUGGCUCAUACCCCAAACUUUGGCUUAUGGUACCCAAGAGGAUCAAACUUCAAGCUUGUAGGUUAUUCGGACUCGGAUUGGGCGGGAGACAAAGUGGAUAGGAAGUCCACUUCUGGAGGGUGCCAAUUCCUUGGCUGCUCUUUGGUAAGUUGGUCUUCAAAGAAGCAAAGUUGUGUGUCUCUCUCGUCCACCGAAGCGGAGUAUGUGGCGGCCGGUAGUUGUGUGCACAACUUUUAUGGAUGAGGUAAACUUUAAAGGAUUACGGUGUCAUUUGUGACAAAGUGCCUCUUUGGUGUGACAAUGAAAGUGCAAUCAAGAUUUCUCUCAACCCGGUGCAACACUUCAAGACGAAGCAUAUUGAGAUCCGGUAUCACUUCAUCCGGGAUCAUAUUAGGCGAUAGGAGAUCGAGCUCAACUAUGUCAACACUCUUGAUAACCUUGCAGAUAUCUUCACGAAGCCCUUGGAUGAAGCAAGAUUUCGCGAGUUAAGGCAUGAGCUAAAUAUCAUUGAUUCGAGCAAUGUUGCUUGAACCCGUGCACAUCCCACCAUACUCAACUUGUUAUCUCGUUUAGGUGUAGGCAUGGACAUAGGGGGAGUGUUGUUCUCUCAAUGAACUCUCCCUCCCCUCAUUAGGCAUAAAUUAAUCAACUCUUUCACAUUAGCCAUUUUUAUGGUACUUGUGCUUCAAAGACGAGUUUUGGUCAUGGUCCCAAGGACAAUUCUUCGCGGUGCCAUACUAAUUGCCUCAAACAUAGGUGGCUCCAGCCACCGCCCUCUCUUUAGAGAGGUUGUGUUGAGUGUCUUAGUCCUUCUCGUCUCUUGUCUUCCAUUCGUCGUGCCGUUUUUGUUUGAGUUAUCUCAUGUGUCAGCUUUUUGGGUGUCCGUUCGCUUGAAGGUUGUCGUGCAAAGGCUUAGUUUUCCCCUUCUUGAAACCUGCAUCUUCUUGAGCGCACGGUACUACCGCGGCCUGCCACGGUACUACCGCGUAAGGAGCACAUGGUACUUCCGCACCCAACGCGGCAGUAAUUUUUUACUGCCGCCUGGGGGAGCGGUACUACUGUCCUUGGUGCGGUACUUCCGUCCGGGCGGUACUACCGCGAUGACGUGCGGUACUACCAUGCUGCCGUGGGCUCGUGGGGGUUAAGAGCGGGCAAGGGGAGUUCCAACUCUCCCAUACCCAUUCGUCCUUUUCUCCCCCUGUGGUCUCUCUCUCUCUCUCUCUCUCUCGCUCGCUCAAGAAAGGCAUCGGAGACCCUCGCCGGAUCGUUCCCCACCACUUCCUCUUGCCAUGGACCAAGGUUUCUCCCCAAAUCCCUCUCUCUUUUAUUCGUCCUUUCGCUUCUAGGUUUUGGGGGAGAUGCUUGUUGACCUUGCGAUUUUAGGCCGAAUCUUUGCAAGAGUGGGAUGUAGGAGAGUAGUGAUGCGUAGAAAUUGUACUUGAUAUGCUGUCCCGUGGUAGAUUUGAUCAACCGUAGUACCGCCUCGUUGUCGCGGUUGUUCUCAGAUUCAGUUGGUUCGGAUCUGAUGCUGUGCGGUACUACCGCGUCUCAGGUGCGAUACUACCGCUCCUCAGGCACGGUACUACCGCACGAGCCGCAUUACUAAAAGUUCUACUACCGCUCCAAGCCAUGAUACUACCGUGCCACCGCGUGGUACUACCGCGCCUAGGAGCGGCACUAAAAUUUUAGUACCGCACGAAUAGGCAGUACUACCGCUGCUGUCAAAUCUUCUUCAUGGCAAUUACCAAAUGCACAUUCUACUUGUUUCACCUGUUUUGGUGUGGUCUUUGCAUUGAUCCUUCUCACUCUCGUGUUUUUGUGGUUUGUGUGUGUCUUAGGUGGCGUCUCCGGUGUCCCUGCUCGUCAUUCCAACCCAAGCCGUGACACGGGCUCCAAACAUCUGCGCAACCAAGAUGAAGUUCCAAAGGGCUCCAAUGCCCCCAAGCGCAAUGUCAAGACCACUGCAAGCAAGUUCAAGGAACCCUCAAAGGGCAUGGAUGAGAUACCUCUUGCUGAGUUUGUUUCUCGAAGGAAGAUCAACCCCUAUGCAAAUCCUCGUGCAAACUUCAGAGGGAAUGAACUGUUCUGGACCAAGCAAUAGAAUCUCAUUUACCUGGAUAUGAUCAAGGCCAAGAAGAAUAUGUAUGUGGAUGUGCACUGGAUUGACAUGAAUCACAUGAGGGAUGAGAAGCAUCGUGCUUACUUUGGUGAGGCCUUGGAUCUGGUGGAGCAGUUUGCCAUUGAAGAUGUGAUCUCUUUCCACCUAGACUUUGACCCCGAGUUGGUGGCCCAGUUCUUUGCUUCGGUCCACUUCCAUACUGGUGAGGAUCGGCGGAUGACGUGGAUGACCAAUGGACGUCAAUUGACUGCUACUUGGAAGGAGUUCAUGGAUUUGCUCAGAGUACCUGAUGAGGGGCUCCACACGCCUGUUGGUGUUCGCCCUCAUGCCAACACUGAGUCAGCUAGCAAGGACAAGCUUCAGUCGUACUAUGUUGAGAAGAAACUGGCCAAUGACAAGUCGACGUGGGUGCUCAACCCAUUCCUUGACAUCAUGCAUCGGAUCUUCCGUCACUCCCUUUUUCCACGCAUUGGGGACAAGGACAAGGUGCAUGCCUAUCUUUUGGACAUGUUGCUCAUUUGUGAGGAGGCGCGCAUUUCUCAGACUCAACCACUUGAUGUCUCACACAUCAUGUGGUGCAAGCUUCGGUUCACGGUGUUCACCCGCAAGGUACCCAUCUAUGGUCCAUAUCUGUUCCUCCUGAUAUCGAAGACCUGGGAGAAGCUCUAUCCCACUGAGGAGUUUUUGGCCCCUGACUGGAUCCGUCAUGACCUCAUCAGACUCCGCAUCAAGCCCUAAUGGGCUAACACUACUACUCGUGCCGAGGCUGAGGCUGCUAAGAGGGUUGUUGAUGAGGAGGAGAUUGCGGGGGAGAAUAUUGCUGAGGACAGCUCUACUGGAUAUGCACCUCCCUCCACUGAGCCCUCAUGGGCUAAGAAGCUGAAGGCCAAGAUGAAGGCCUUGUUCUGCAUGCAGGCCAAGGGGCAGUACCGGACUCACGUUGCCUCCAAGGAGAGUCGCCGCCGCGACAAGAAGAUCAUGAGGGUUUUUGGAGAGGAUGUUUCUGGCGGCUCCGAGGAGCACAUCACUCCAGAGGCCGAAUGGAUGACUAAACAAGGCUACAAGUGGACUGAUUCUGAGGAGGAGCCCAUCCCCGCUGCCGAGUCUGAUGAAGAGCGUGCGAGCGACUACUCCGCUUGAGCCACCACUUGUGUUGUAGGUGUCCUCUCUGCCUUUUUGGAGUCUUGGUGCCAAAGGGGGAGAGAGUGUAGGGAUUUGCCAUGUCGUGUCAUGUUUGCUUCGCUUGUGUUUGUUCCGUUGAACCUUGUCUGCUUUGGUUUGGUUUGGUUUGAGUUUGUUUGAGCUUGUGAGACUUUUCUAUCAUAUGGUGUAAGACAUAUGCACUCUAUCUAUCGCACCUUCUUGAGCUUAUGAUAUAUUGUGCUACUUAGUUUAUGCUCUUAUUUACUAUCUUGCUUAGUGUUAGCAUUAUUAUUGCAAGAUAUGCCAUGUCUAUAAAAUAUAGGGGGAGUGUUGAUCCUAGUAUGUGUGUCGUGCAGUCCAAAGCACUUAUCUAAAUAGCACACAUCUAGGGGGGCCCGUCUAUAUUUUAGAGAUGUAUGGUUUGCUCAUGUUCUAUACUUUCUCCCUUAUGCAAAUCCCGUAUUGUCAUUAAUCCACCAAAAAGGGGAAGAUUGUAAGGGCAUAUUCAUAACUAAGGUGUUUUGGUGAUUGAUGAAAAUGCAUUUGCGAACUAAUCGUGUGCCUCGAGUAUUUCAGAUAUUUCAUUACUAGGCACAAGACGGUUAGGAGCCCCUCGAAGAUUGUUGAAGACGGCGUUUUCUACAUUCCAUUUUCGGUGGAUUUGAGUCGUAGGAAAACCGUACUAUUAAGAGGGGGUCCGCUUUGGGAAGGUUUGGGUGGAAUCGUCACGUACACGUUUACUCCCCUUUGCAUCGCCUUUCCCUUAGCACUUUGGAACAUCCUCCAUUUCUUCGUGUUUGUGCAAAAAGAAGAAUUCCUAGUGUUGUUGUUCUGGGGCUUGCGGUAGUAUUGCUCUUAGGAGUGGUAGUACCGCAGGUGGUCAUGGUAGUACCGCUGCGUGGGAGCCGUAGUACCGUGAGUCCUGGUCCGGCACAGCACCAUAAGCGGAAGUAGGGGCGGAUGUAAUUUUUUACAUCCGCUCCCCGUGCGGUAGUACCGCAUGCCUUGAGCGGUAGUACCGUGUCAGAUUUUUGCACUGUUUGAAAAUCAGCGGAAGUUGCCACGAACGUUUCUUUAUUUGUCCGCGCCCUUCCCACGCUGGUCCAAUCCUACCUUGCGGUAGUACCGCAAGGGGGUGCGGUAGUACCGUGCGAGCGGCAGUACCGCCCCAGCUUAGUUGCUAUAGGCCUGGGCUAGCUCCUGUCGUGGCCACAGUAGUACCGCGGCUCGCUGCAGUAGUACCGUGAGCCCUUGCAGUAGUACCGCUUGGUUGGUGCGGUAGUACCGCAGGUCGCGGGCUGGUUAAGGAUAACGGUUGGAUUUGUCUCUCCACUAUAUAAGGGGUGUCUUCUUCUCCGAGUUGACGACCUCUUCUAACCCUAAGCUCCAUUGUUGCUCCAAGCUCCGUUUUCGCCCGGUCUCUCUCCCUAGCCAAUCAAACUUGUUGAUUUUCUAGGGAUUGGUUGAGAAGGCCUCGAUCUACACUUCCACCAAGAGAAAUUCGACCCCCCACUAAUCCCUUGCGAUCUUGUUACUCUUGGUGUUUGAGCACCCUAGACGGUUGAGUUCACCACGAAGCCAUAUUCCAUUGUGGUGAAGCUUCGUGGUGUUGUUGGGAGCCUCUGAUUAAGUUGUGGAGAUUGCCCCAACCUUGUUCGUAAAGGUCCGGUCGCCGCCUCCAAGGGCACCAAUAGUGGAAUCAUGGCAUCUCGCAUUGUGUGAGGGCGUGAGGAGAAUACGGUGGCCCUAGUGGCUUCUUGGGGAGCAUUGUGCCUCCACACCGCUCCAACGGAGACGUACUUCCCCUCAAAAGGAAGGAACUUCAGUAACACAUCCUCGUCUUCACCGUCUCCACUCUUGGUUAUCUCGUACCUUUACUUGUGCAAGCUUAUUUUUGUUAUUUCCCUUGCUUGCUUGUGUGCUUGUUGUUGUUGCAUCAUAUAGGUUGCUCACCUAGUUGCUUAUCUAGACAACCUACUUUGAUGCAAAGUUUAAUUUGGUGAAGAAAAGCUAAAAAUUGUUAUUUGCCUAUUCACCCCCCUCUAGUCAACUAUAUCGAUCCUUUCAAUUAGUCAUUAGUAGCAAUACCGAAGCGAAUAUCUCUGUUUUAACGAAAUAUGUCGGUUUAAAAAAGGGUGAAUGAGUGUAAAAAUAUCACUCAUCAGUGGUGAUGUCCAGAAAAUGCAUCAUUGAUACGUCCAUUUUGCAUCAUAUUUUUAUGUUAAUAUUUAUUGCAUUAUGGACUGUUAUUUCACUUUAUGAUACAAUUAUUAUGCAUUUUAUCUCUUAUUUUGCAAGUUUCACAUGAAGAGGGAGAUUGUCGGCAGUUGGAAUUCUGGACCGGGAAGGGCUGCAUCAGAGGCACUUUUUCUGAACAUCUCCAAAUGAGAUGAAAAAUUAGGGAGAAUUAUUUUGGAAUAUAUUAAAAUUAUUGGCGAAAGAAAUACCAGAGGGGGAUCCACCAGGCAGCCACAAGCCUUGGGGGCGCCCCCCCCCCCGAGCUUGCGGCAUCCCUAGCAGGCCUUCGGGGCCCAUAUUCUCCCAUAUGUUGCCUUUUACCCUUGAAAAAAAAUCAAAAGGAAGGUUUCAGGAUGAAGCGCCACUGUCUUGAGGCGGAAUCUGGGUAGGAGCACUUUUGCUCUUCAGCGGAGAGAUUCGCCGAGGAAACUUCCUUCCGGGGUGGAGAAUCGAAGCCAUCGUCGUCACCGAAGAUCCUCUCAUCAUGGGAGGACCAAUCUUCAUCAACAUCUUCACCAGCACCAUCUCAUCUCAAAUUCUAGUUCAUCUCUUAUAUUCAAUGUUUGUCUCAAAACCUCAGAUUGGUACCUGUGGGUUGCUAGUAGUGUUGAUUACAUCUCGUAGUUGAUGCUUGUUGGUUUAUUUGGUGGAAGAUCAUAUGUUCAAAUCCAUGAUGUUAUUCGAUACCCCUAUGAUCUUGAGCAUGAAUAUGAUUUGUGAGUAGUUACAUUUGUUCUUGAGUACAUGGGAGAAGUCUUGUCAUAAGUAAUCAUGUGAAUUUGGUAUUCGUUCGAUAUUUUGAUGAUAUGUAUGUUGUUGUUUCCCUUAGUGGUGUUAUGUGAACAUCGACUACAUGACACUUCACCAUCUUUGAGCCUAAGGGAAGGCAUUGUGGAGUAGUUAUUAGAUGAUGGGUUGCUAGACUGACAGAAGCUUAAAUCCUAGUCUAUGUGUUAUUCCGUAAGGGGCUGAUUUGGAUCCAUGUGUUUCAUGCUAUGUUUAGAUUUAUCUUAAUUCUUCUUUCGUAGUUGCGGAUGCUUGCGAAAGGGGGUAAUCAUAAGUGGGAGGCUUGUUCAAGUAAGAACAGCACCCAAGCACCGGUCCACCCACAUAUCAAAUUGUCAAAUUAACGAAUGUGAAUCAAACAAACCUGAUGAAAGUGACUAGAUGAAAUUGCCGUGUGUCCUCAAGAACGCUUUGCUUAUUCUAAGAGAUUGUUCCGGCCUAUCCUUUGCUAAAAAAAGGAUUGGGCUACCUUGCUGUACCUUUGUUACCAUUACUACUAUUUGCUCAUUACAAAUUACCUUGCUAUCAAACUAUACAUUUCCGACAAUUUCAGUGCCUGCAGAUAAUACCUUGCUGAAAACCUCUUGUCAUUUCCUUCUGCUCCUCGUUGGGUUCGACACUCUUACUUAUCUAAAAGACUAUGAUUGAUCCCCUAUAUUUGUGGGUCAUCAAUCGUGGAGCGGGGGAUCCAGUGGUUGGUCGUGCAGUGGCCUGUGUAGAAAGGAUAUUGGAUGCAACUCAAUUGUAUUCAUCAAAGUCGUAUACAAUAUAUACAGGAGAUGUCUUGCGUGACAAGCCAACUAACCCUACAAAAUCUCUAGAAGUUAAAGUAUACAUGGCUAGAGAUGAGAGAGAGGGGGGAGAGAGAGAUCAAUUGGGAGAUAUGUACACAUAUGUCACGUUCACCCCCUUCCCCCCAGUCCGAGCAUUGUCGUCGGCGAUGCAAAGACUGGAGCAAAACUCCUAGAAUGCAGCAGGUGGCAACCCUUUGGUCAUAAUGUGGAUGAACCGUACCUUCUCGCACAUGAAGUGAACAUCUAGCUCAAUCAGUUUGGUGCGCUUAUGAUGCACUGGAUUGGCAACAAGAUAGGUGGCUGAAACAUUGUCACAGAAAACCAUCGUAACCUUGGGAAUGGGGACCCAAAGCUCACCAAGGAGAUGACGCAGCUAACAAGUCUCAGCUACAACGUUAGCCACCGCAUGGUACUCAGCCUUGGCACUCGAGCGGGACACAAUGGGCUGCCGCUUAGAGGACCAUGAGAUGAGCGAGUUGCCAAGGAAGACACAGUAGCCAGAUGUUCAUCUCAUGUGUCAAGACAGCCAACCCAAUUUGCAUAUGUGUAGGCAAGAAGCUCGGUGGAGGCGGAGGCGUGAAGUCGAAGACCAUAAGUUGUGAAUGUAACGGAGGAUGCGCUUGACCAGAGACCUGUGAACAUCAUGAGGUGAGUGCAUGUGAAUGCAAACUUGCUGCACGGCAUACUGAAUGCCUGGUUAGGUAAGUGUGAGGUACUAAAGAACACCAACAAUGUUGCGGUAGAGAGCGGUGUCCGUGGAGGGCUGCCCGUCGGUGGUAGAGAGCUUCGGCUUGGCCUUGGUGAAGGAAAUAUGCCCUAGAGGCAAUAAUAAAGUUAUUAUUUAUUUCCUUAUUUCAUGAUAAAUGUUUAUUAUUCAUGCUAGAAUUGUAUUAACCGGAAACAUAAUACAUGUGUGAAUACAUAGACAAACAGAGUGUCACUAGUAUGCCUCUACUUGACUAGCUCGUUGAUCAAAGAUGGUUAUGUUUCCUAACCAUAUACAUGAGUUGUCAUUUGAUAAACGGGAUCACGUCAUUAGGAGAAUGAUGUGAUUGACUUGACCCAUUCCGUUAGCUUAGCACUUGAUCGUUUUAGUUUACUGCUAUUGCUUUCUUCAUGACUUAUACAUGUUCCUAUGACUAUGAGAUUAUGCAACUCCCGAUUACCGGAGGAACACUUUGUGUGCUACCAAACGUCAGAACGUAACUGGGUGAUUAUAAAGGUGCUCUACAGGUGUCUCCGAUGGUACUUGUUGAGUUGGCAUCGAUCGAGAUUAGGAUUUGUCACUCCGAUUGUCGGAGAGGUAUCUCUGGGCCCUCUCGGUAAUGCACAUCACUAUAAGCCUUGCAAGCAAUGCAACUAAUGAGUUAGUUACGGGAUGAUGCAUUACGGAACAAGUAAAGAGACUUGCCGAUAACGAGAUUGAGCUAGGUAUUGAGAUACCGACGAACAAAUCUCGGGCAAGUAACAUACCGAUGUCAAAGGGAACAACGAAUGUUGUUAUGCGGUUUGACCGAUAAAGAUCUUUGUAGAAUAUGUAGGAGCCAAUAUGAGCAUCCAGGUUCCGCUAUUGGUUAUAUACCGGAGACGUGUCUCGGUCAUGUCUACAUAGUUCUCGAACCCGUAGGGUCCGCACGCUUAACGUUCGGUGACGAACGAUAUUAUGAGUUUAUGUGAUUUGAUGUAGCGAAGGUAGUUCGGAGUCCCGGAUGUGAUCACGAACAUGACGAGGAGUCUCGAAAUGGUCAAUACAUAAAGAUUAAUAUAUUGGACGACUAUAUUCGGAUACCGAAAGUGUUCCGGGUGAUUUCGGAGAAAACCGGAGUGUCGGAGGGUUACCGGAACCCCCCGGGAGAAGUAAUGGGCCACAUGGGCCUUAGUGGAGAGAGAGGGACAACCAGGGCAGGCCGCGCGCCCCUCCCCCUCUGGUCUGAAUUGGACUAGGGAAGGGGGGGCGGCGCCCCCCUUUUCCUUCUCCCUCUCCUCCUUCCUUUCCCCCUCCUAGUAGGAGUACGAAAGGGGAGUCCUACUCCUACUAGGAGGAGGACUCCUCCUCCUGGCGCGCCCUGCAAAGGCCGGCCGGCCUCCUCCCUUGAUCCUUUAUAUACGGGGGCAGGGGCACCCUAGGACACACAAGUUGAUUGUUCCAAGUUGUGUGCGGUGCCCCCUCCACCAUAAUCCACCUCGAUCAUAUCGUAGCGGUGCUUAGGCGAAGCCCUGCGUCGGUAGCGACAUCAUCACCGUCAUCACGCCGUCUGAUACAUCCAUUUUGCAUCAUGCUUUUAUAUCGAUAUUUAUUGCAUUAUGGGAUGUUAUUAGACAUUAUGUCGCAAUACUUAUGCCUAUUCUCUCUUAUUUUGUAAGGUUUACAUAAAGAGGGAGAAUGCCGACAGCUGGGAUUCUGGGCUGGAAAAGGAGCAAAUAUUAGAGACCUAUUCUGCACAGCUCCAAAAGUCCUGAAACUUCACAGAAGUCAUUUUCAGAAUAUAUAAUAAAUACUGAGUGCAAGAAGUUCACCAGGGGGCCACACCCUGCCCACGAGGGUGGGGGGUGCGCCCUACCCCUUGGGCGCGCCCCCUACCUCGUGGCCCCCUGGUGGCCCUAUGAUGUCCAUCUUCUGCUAUAUGGAGUCUUUCGAUGAGGAAAAAAUCAGAAGCCAUCUUUCCGGACGAGACUCCCCCGCCACGAGGCGGAACCAAUCUAGGGCUCUAGUGGAGCUAUUCUACCGGGGAAACUUCCCUCCGGGAGGGGGAAAUCAUCACCAUCGUCAUCACCAACGCUCCUCUCAUCGGGAGAGGGCAAUCUCCGUCAACAUCUUCACCAGCACCAUCUCCUCUCCAAACCCUAGUUCAUCUCUUGUAUCCAAUUCUUGUCUCCAAGUCUGGGAUUGGUACCUGUGGGUUGCUAGUAGUGUUAAUUACUCAUUGUAGUUGAUGCUAGUUGGUUUAAUUGGUGGAAGAUCAUAUGUUCAGAUCCUAUAUGCAUAUUAAUACCCCUCUGAUUAUGAACAUGGAUAUUCUUUGUGAGUAGUUAUGUUUGUUCCUAAGGACAUGGGAGAAGUCUUGCUAUUAGUAGUCAUGUGAAUUUGGUAUUCAUUCGAUAUUUUGAUGAGAUGUAUGUUGUCUCUCCUCUAGUGGUGUUGUGUGAACGUCGACUACAUAACACUUCACCAUUAUUUGGGCCUAGAGGAAGGCAUUGGGAAGUAAUAAGUAGAUGAUGGGUUGCUAGAGUGACAGAAGCUUAAACCCUAGUUUAUGCGUUGCUUCGUAAGGGGCUGAUUUGGAUCCACAUGUUUCAUGAUAUGGUUAGGUUUACCUUAAUACUUUUGUUGUAGUUGUGGAUGCUUGCAAUAGAGGUUAAUCAUAAGUGGGAUGCUUGUCCAAGUAAGGGCAAUACCCAAGCAUCGGUCCACCCACAUACCAAAUUAUCAAAGUACCGAACGCGAAUCAUAUGAUCAUGAUGAAAACUAGCUUGACGAUAUUCCCAUGUGUCCUCGGGAGCGCUUUACAUCAUAUAAGAGUUUGUCCAGGCUUGUCCUUUGCUACAAAAAGGAUUGGGCCACCUUGCUGCACUUUAUUUACUUUUGUUACUUGUUACUCGUUACAAAUUAUCCUAUCACAAAACUAUCUGUUACCUAUUAUUUCAGUGCUUGCAGAGAAUACCUUGCUGAAAACCGCUUAUCACUUCCUUCUGCUCCUCGUUGGGUUCGACACUCUUACUUAUCGAAAGGACUACGAUAGAUCCCCUAUACUUGUGGGUCAUCAAGACUCUUUUCUGGCGCCGUUGCCGGGGAGUGAAGCGCCUUUGGUAGGUGCAAGUUGGUAAGGAAAAAUUUAUAUAGUGUGCUGAAAUUUACUGUCACUUGUUACUAUGGAAAGUAAUCCUCUGAGGGGCUUGUUCGGGGUAUCUUCACCCCGACCAGUAGAGCAAAGAGUUGCUCCUCAACCUACUGAACCUACUGAAAAUGAAAAUGUUUUCUUUGAAAUUCCUUCGGGUAUGAUAGAAAAACUGCUAGCUAAUUCUUUUGCAGGAGACGGAACAACGCAUCCUGAUGAGCACUUAAUAUAUGUGGAUGAAGUCUGUGGAUUAUUUAAGCUUGCAGGUGUACCCGGAGAUGUUAUUAAGAAGAAGGUCUUCCCUUUAUCUUUGAAGGAAGAUGCAUUGACAUGGUAUAGGCUAUGUGAUGAUACGGGGUCAUGGAACUACAAAUGAUUGAAAUUGGAAUUUCAUCAGAAGUUUUAUCCUAUUCAUCUUGUUCAUCGUGAUCACAAUUAUAUAUAUAUAUAUAUAUAUAUAUAUAUAUAUAUAUAUAUAUAUAUAUAAUUUUUGGCCUCCCGAAGGAGAAAGCAUCGCUCAAGCUUGGGGGAGGCUUAAAUCAAUGUUAUAUUCAUGCCUCAAUCAUGAGCUCUCAAGAGAAAUGAUUAUUCAAAAUUUAUAUGCUCGGCUUUCUAAUAACAAUCGCACCAUGCUCGAUACUUCUUGUGAUGGCUCUUUUAUGACGAAGACUAUUGAAUUCAAAAGGGAUUUAUUGGAAAUAAUUAAAUGCAACUCUGAAGAUUGGGACCUCGACAAAGGUCAGGAGUCAGGUAUGACACCUAAGUUUGAUUGUGUUAAAUCUUUUAUGGAUACCGAUGUUUUCCGUAAACUUAGCACUAAAUAUGGACUUGACUCUGAGAUAGUAGCUUCUUUCUGUGAAUCUUUUGCUACUCAUGUUGAUCUCCCUAGGGAGAAGUGGUUUAAAUAUCAUUCUCCCAUAGAAGUAAAAGUAGUUGCACCUAUUAAAGUUGAAGAAAAGAAUAUCACUUAUAAUGAUCCUAUUGUUCCUACUUCUUAUGUUGAGAAACCACCUUUUCCUGUUAGGAUAAAAGAUCAUGCUAAAGCUUCAACUGUGGUUCGUAAAAGCAAUAUUAGAACUUAUACACCUCCUGAACAAGUUAAAGUUGAACCUAAUAUUGCUAUUGCUAAAGAUCUCUUGUCUGAUAAUAUUGAUGGGCAUGUUAUUUAUUUUUGUGAUGAAACUGCUAGAAUUGCUAAACCUUGUGCUAAAGAUAAACCUAGACCAGUGGUAGGCAUGCUUGUUAUUUCUGUUAAAAUAGGAGAUCAUUGUUAUCAUGGCUUAUGUGAUAUGGGUGCUAGUGCUAGUGCAAUACCUAUUGACUUAUACAAAGAAAUUAUGCAUGAUAUUGCACCUGCUGAGUUAGAAGAUAUUGAUGUCACAAUUAAACUUGCCAAUAGAGAUACUAUUUCACCUAUGGGAAUUGUUAGAGAUGUUGAAGUCUUGUGUGGGAAAACUAAAUAUCCUACUGAUUUUCAUGUUCUUGGUUCCCCACAAGAUAGCUUUUGUCCCAUUAUAUUUGGUAGACCCUUCUUGAACACUGUUAAUGCUAAGAUAGAUUGCAAAAAGGAUGUUGUUACUAUUGGUUUAGGUGAUAUGUCUCAUGAAUUUAAUUUCUCUAAAUUUCAUAGACAACACCGUGAAGAGGAAUUGCCUAGUAAAGAUGAAAUUAUUGGUCUUGCUUCUAUUGCCGUACCUCCUAGUGAUCCUUUAGAACAAUAUUUGCUAGACCAUGAAAAUGAUAUGUUCAUGAAUGAAAGAAAGGAAAUAGAUGAAGUAUUCUUUAAACAGGAACCCAUCCUGAAACACAAUUUGCCUGUUGAAAUCCUAGGGGAUCCUCCUCCACCCAAGGGUGAUCCCGUGUUUGAGCUUAAACCAUUACCUGAUACUCUUAAAUAUGCUUAUCUUGAUGAGAAAAAGAUAUAUCCUGUUAUUAUUAGUGCUAACCUUUCAGAGCAUGAAGAAGAGAGAUUAUUGAAAACUCUGAAGAAGCACCGUGCUGCUAUUGGAUAUACUCCUGAUGAUCUUAAGGGCAUUAGUCCCACUCCGUGUCAACACAAAAUAAAUUUGGAGGAAGAUGCCAAACCAGUUUGUGAUCAUCAACGACGGCUGAAUCCUAAGAUGAAGGAAGUGGUAAGGAAGGAAAUACUAAAGCUUCUUGAGGCAGGUAUAAUUUAUCCAGUUGCUGAUAGUCAGUGGGUAAGUAUUGUCCAUUGUGUCCCUAAGAAGGGAGGUAUUACUGUCAUUCCUAAUGAUAAAGAUGAGUUGAUCCUGCAAAGAAUUAUUACAGGUUAUAGGAUGGUAAUUGAUUUCCGCAAAUUAAAUAAAGCUACUAAAAAAGAUCAUUACCCCUUAACUUUUAUUGAUCAAACGCUAGAAAGAUUAUCCAAACAUACACAUUUUUGAUUUCUAGAUGGUUAUUCUGGUUUCUCUCAAAUACCUGUGUCGGCCAAUGAUCAAUCAAAGACUACUUUUACUUGCCCUUUUGGUACUUUUGCUUAUAGACAUAUGCAUUUUGGUUUAUGUAAUGCACCUACUACCUUUCAAAGAUGCAUGAUGGCUAUAUUCUCUGACUUUUGUGAAAAGAUUUGUGAGGUUUUCAUGGACGAUUUUUCUGUCUAUGGAUCCUCUUUCGAUGAUUGCUUGAGCAACCUUGAUCGAGUUUUGUAGAGAUGUGAAGAAACUAAUCUUGUCUUGAAUUGGGAAAAGUGCCACUUUAUGGUUAAUGAAGGUAUUGUCUUGGGGCAUAAAGUUUCUGAAAGAGGUAUUGAAGUUGAUAAAGCCAAGGUAGAUGCUAUUGAAAAGAUGCCAUGUCCCAAGGACAUCAAAGGUAUAAGAAGUUUCCUCGGUCACGCCGGUUUUUAUAGGAGGUUCAUUAAGGACUUCUCAAAAAUUUCUCGGCCUCUGACUAAUUUAUUACAAAAAGAUAUACCAUUUGUUUUUGAUGAUGAUUGUGUAGAAGCAUUUGAAAUACUUAAGAAAGCAUUGAUCUCUGCACCUAUUGUUCAGCCACCUGAUUGGAAUUUACCUUUUGAAAUUAUGUGUGAUGCCAGUGAUUAUGUUGUAGGUGUUGUUCUAGGGCAAAGAGUUGAUAAGAAAUUAAAUGUUAUUCAAUAUGCUAGUAAAACUCUAGAUAAUGCCCAGAGAAAUUAUGCCACUACGGAAAAAGAAUUCUUAGCAGUUGUAUUUGCUUGUGAUAAGUUCAGACCUUAUAUUGUUGAUUCUAAGGUAACUAUUCACACUGAUCAUGCUGCUAUUAAAUAUCUUAUGGAAAAGAAAGAUGCUAAACCUAGACUUAUUAGAUGGGUUCUCUUGCUACAAGAAUUUGAUUUGCAUAUCAUUGAUAAAAAGGGAGCUGAGAACCCCAUUGCAGACAACUUGUCUAGGUUAGAAAAUGUUCUUGAUGACCCACUACCUAUUGAUGAUAGCUUUCCUGAUGAACAAUUAAAUGUCAUAAAUGCUUCUCAUACUGCUCCAUGGUAUGCUGAUUAUGCUAAUUACAUCAUUUCUAAAUUUAUACCACCUAGCUUUACACACCACCAAAAGAAAAGGUUCUUCUAUGAUUUAAGACAUUACUUCUGGGAUGACCCACAUCUUUAUAAAGAAGGAGUAGAUGGUGUUAUUAGACGUUGUGUACCUGAGCAUGAACAGGAACAGAUCCUACGCAAGUGUCACUCCGAAACUUAUGGAGGACACCACGUUGGAGAUAGAACUGCACAAAAGGUAUUGCAAUCCGGUUUUUAUUGGCCUACUCUCUUCAAGGAUGCCCGUAAGUUUUUCUUGUCUUGUGAUGAAUGUCAAAGAAUUGGUAAUAUUAGUAGACGUCAAGAAAUGCCUAUGAAUUAUUCACUUGUUAUUGAACCAUUUGAUGUUUGGGGCUUUGAUUAUAUGGGACCUUUUCCUGCCUCUAAUGGAUACACACAUAUUUUAGUUGCUGUUGAUUACGUUACUAAGUGGGUAGAAGCUAUUCCAACUAGUAGUGCUGAUCAUAACACUUCUAUUAAAAUGCUUAAAGAAGUUAUUUUUUCCAAGGUUUGGAGUCCCUAGAUAUUUAAUGACUGAUGGUGGUUCACAUUUUAUUCAUGGUGCUUUCCGUAAAAUGCUUGCUAAAUAUGAUGUUAAUCAUAGAAUUGCAUCUCCUUAUCACCCACAGUCUAGUGGUCAAGUAGAAUUGAGUAAUAGAGAGCUCAAAUUAAUUUUGCAAAAGACUGUUAAUUGCUCUAGAAAGAACUGGUCCAAGAAACUUGAUGAUGCAUUGUGGGCCUAUAGAACUGCAUAUAAAAAUCCUAUGGGUAUGUCUCCGUAUAAAAUGGUCUAUGGAAACGCAUGUCACUUACCUCUCGAAUUAGAACAUAAGGCUUAUUGGGCUAUUAAAGAACUCAAUUAUGAUUUCAAACUUGCCGGUGAGAAGAGGUUAUUCGACAUUAGCUCACUCGAUGAAUGGAGAACCCAAGCCUACGAGAAUGCCAAAUUAUUUAAAGAAAAAGUUUAAAGAUGGCAUGACAAAAGAAUACAAAAGCGCGAGUUUAAUGUAGGUGAUUAUGUAUUGCUAUACAAUUCUCGUUUAAGAUUUUUAUAGGAAAACUUCUCUCUAAAUGGGAAGGUCCUUACGUUAUUGAGGAGGUCUAUCGUUCCAGUGCCAUAAAAAUCAACAACUUCGAAGGCACAAAUCCAAAGGUGGUGAACGGUCAAAGAAUCAAACACUAUAUCUCAAGUAAUCUUAUAAAUGUUGAAACCAAUGUUAUUGAAACCGUAACCCCAUAGGAAUACAUAAGGGGCACUUUCCGGAACGUUUCAAACUCCGAAAAAGGAAUAGGUAUGUGGUACGGUAAGUAAACCGACUCCAAAAUAGUUCUAAUGGCAAUAUUUCCCCAUUUUGGAAUAUUUAGAAAAAUAGAAAAAUAAGAAGCAGUCCGGGAAGGACACGAGGGUGGAGGGCACGCCCCCUACCUCGUGGGCACCUCGUGUGCUCUCUAGACUCCGUUUUCUUACACGUUACGUAUUUUGGUCGGUAAAAUUCAUUAUAUAAUCUCCCGGAGGUUUUGACUCCCGUAUCACACAAUUACCCUCUGUUUGUGUUUCGAGCUGUUGCUGCUGCAGAUUAGAGCAAGAUGUCUUCGCAAGAGUCAGUCGGGGAGAGCCGGGUGUCUCAUCCGGCACCGAGAUCAAUGACAAACAACAAUGUUGACCACUUUGGGCCAGCAACAGAGGAAGAGAUGGAGGCUGAUUUGAAGAGAAUAGAUGCCAUGGAGGAGGAUCAAGAAGUCACUUCUUGCUUCCGAGCUGGAUUCACAAUGGGGGAACUGCAUAGCUCGGCUAUUCCACACUCGCUUAUCCCUUCCAAUGUUAGAUUUCUUUCUUAUGAGAAUAUGAAAAAGAAUGUCACUGGUUCUCCCGCAUCUAUGCAGCACCCUUGGGUGCAGGGAGCUUUGGCUGUUACAGGAAAGCUUUGAAAGGAGAUAAUGGACCUCAAGCAGCAAGUCAAUAAGCUCGAGGAGGAAAAUCGUAUCCUGAGGGGCAUCAUCGCCAAGAAUAUCACAUCACAAUCCCCGAAAAGAGAGAUAUAAUCACAUGGGUAUGGGCACUCCCCUUGGCAACUGCCAAGCUUGGGGGAGUGCCCCGGUAUCGUAUCACCAUCACUUCUAUCUCUACCAUUUUUCUCAAUUCGAUCCCUUUGAUAAUAUCUUGAUCUAGUAGUAUAAAGCUUUUAGUGUGAUCUAGUUGUGAGUUUUGCUUUAUGAUCCUUCUAUGUAAUCGAGUCCGUGAGCUAUAUAUAAUAAAGAUUAGUGUUGAGUCAAGGGCUUGAUUAUUUUUCCAUGAUCUUGAGUGAAUAAAAUAAAAGAGAAAGAAUAAAAAGAAACAAAGAGAUCAUAUGGAUCUUAUGGAGAGUAAUGAGCUCACAUAUAAAAAGUAUGAUGAAUAAAAGUUGUUGAGAGUUGACAAACAUAGUUUUGGUCAUCGUUGCAAUUAAAAGGAAGUAAUAAAGAAAGAGAGGUCUUCACAUAUAAAUAUAUUAUCUUGGACAUCCUUUAUGAUUGUGAGUACUCAUUGAAAUAUGACAUGCUAAAGAGUUGACGUUGGACAAGGAAGACAACAUAAUGGGUUAUGUUUUCUUACAUCCGAGAUAAAUUAUAUUUUCAUGGAUUAUCCAACAUGAUUGAGCUUGCUUUUCCCCCUCAUGCUAGCCAAAUUCUUUGCACCAAGUAGAGAUACUACUUGCGCUUCCAAACACCCUUAAACCAGUUUUGCCAUGAGAGUCCACCAUACCCACCUAUGGAUUGAGUAAGAUCCUCCAAGUAAGUUGUCAUUGGUGCAAGCAAUAAAAAUUGCUUUCUAAAUAUGUAUGACUUAUUAGUGUGGGAGAAAAUAAGCUUUAUACGAUCGUGUGAUAUGGAAGAAAUAAAAGCGACAGACUGCAUAAUAAAGGUCCAUAUCACAAGUGGCAAUAUAAAGUGACGUUCUUUCGCAUUAAGAUUUUGUGCAUCCAACCAUAAAAGCGCAUGACAACCUCUGCUUCCCUCUACGAAGGGCCUAUCUUUUAAUUUUAUCUCCUACUUUGCAUAAGAGUCAUGGUGAUCUUCACCCUUCCUUUUUACAUUUUAUCUUUUGGCAAGCACAACAUGUUGGAAAGAUCCUGGUAUAUAUGGCUAAUUGGAUGUGAGUUUUCAUGAACUAUUAUUGUUGACAUUACCCUUGAGGUAAAACGUUGGGAGGCAAAACUAUAAGCCCCUAUCUUUCUUUGUGUCCGAUUAAAACUCCAUACCCAUAAGUAUUGCGUGAGUGUUAGCAAUUGUGAAAGACUAUAUGAUAGUUGAGUAUGUGGACUUGCUAAAAAGCUCUUAUAUUGACUCUUUCCUAUGUUAUGGUAAAUUGCAAUUGCUCCAAUGACUGAUAUUAUAGUUUGUUAGUUUUCAAUGAAGUUUAUGAUCCAUACUUGAAAUUGUGAUUGAAUUGUUACUCUAGCAUAAGAGAUCAUAUGACAAGAAUUAUAUAAGUUGAUGUUCAAAGAAUGAUCAUGAUGCCCUCGUGUCCGUAUUUUAUUUUUAUCGACACCUCUAUCUCUAAACAUGUGGAGAUAUUUUUCGAUUUCGGCUUUCGCUUGAGGACAAGCGAGGUCUAAGCUUGGGGGAGUUGAUACAUCCACUUUGCAUCAUGCUUUUAUAUCGAUAUUUAUUGCAUUAUGGGCUGUUAUUACACAUUAUGUCACAAUACUUAUGCCUAUUCUCUCUUAUUUUGCAAGGUUUACAUAAAGAGGGAGAAUGCCGGCAGCUAGGAUUCUGGGCUGGAAAAGGAGCAAAUAUUAGAGACCUAUUCUACACAGCUCCAAAAGCCCUGAAACUUCAUAGAAGUCAUUUUCAGAAUAUAUAAUAAAUAUUGAGCGCAAGAAGUUCACCAGGGGGGCCACACCCUGCCCACGAGGGUGGGGGGCGUGCCCUACCCCCCUGAGCGCGCCCCUACCUCAUGGGCCCCCUGGUGGCCCUUCGAUUUCCAUCUUCUGCUAUAUGGAGUCUUUCGAUGAGGAAAAAAUCAGAAGCCAUCUUUCCGGCAAGACUCCGCCGCCACGAGGCGGAACCUUGGCGGAACCAAUCUAGGGCUCCGACGGAGUUGUUCUGCCGGGGAAACUUCCCUCCGGGAGGGGGAAAUCAUCGCCAUCGUCAUCACCAACGCUCCUCUCAUCGGGAGAGGGCAAUCUCCAUCAACAUCUUCACCAGCACCAUCUCCUCUCCAAACUGUAGUUCAUCUCUUGUAUCCAAUUCUUGUCUCCAAGUCUGGGAUUGGUACCUGUGGGUUGCUAGUAGUGUUAAUUACUCCUUGUAGUUGAUGCUAGUUGGUUUAAUUGGCGGAAGAUCAUAUGUUCAGAUCCUAUAUGCAUAUUAAUACCCCUCUGAUUAUGAACAUGAAUAUGCUUUGUGAGUAGUUACGUUGUUCCUGAGGACAUGGGAGAAGUCUUGCUAUUAGUAGUCAUGUGAAUUUGGUAUUCGUUCGAUAUUUUGAUGAGAUGUAUGUUGUCUCUCCUCUAGUCACUACAAAAAAAGACACAUCCGUGACAUUUUGGGCUGAAUGAAUUUUUUUUCUGUCAUACAUAUGACACUUCUAUGACGAUAAUUGUGACAAAACCCGGUAUCAUCAUAGAUGUGGUGGGCUCCUACUUCUAUGACAAAAAAUCAUGAUAGAAAAUGGGAUUUUCGUCCUGGGCGGGCCGGAGACGCAGCUGCAUGACAUUCUUUGGGCCGUCCAUGACGGAAAAAACCGUGGUAGAAGCGAGGGCGAGGAAAAUUUUGGGGAGUUCCCGGUUACAGUGGGAGGUCGGGGGCCGAGCGAUGCGUGUUUCUCUCGUACACGUACGCGCGUGUGUGCGAGGCGUUGGCUCUAACUGAACCCGAGCGAGGCGUUGGGCUCUAACUGAACCCGAGCGAUUGCACUGCAGGCUAGGCGUUACUAAACCCGAGCGAUCGAUCGAUGGCUGUUAACUGAACCCGAUCGAGCGAUUCCUUCGCUACUGCUGCUAACUGUAGCCGAUCGAUGCUNNNNNNNNNNNNNNNNNNNNNNNNNNNNNNNNNNNNNNNNNNNNNNNNNNNNNNNNNNNNNNNNNNNNNNNNNNNNNNNNNNNNNNNNNNNNNNNNNNNNNNNNNNNNNNNNNNNNNNNNNNNNNNNNNNNNNNNNNNNNNNNNNNNNNNNNNNNNNNNNNNNNNNNNNNNNNNNNNNNNNNNNNNNNNNNNNNNNNNNNNNNNNNNNNNNNNNNNNNNNNNNNNNNNNNNNNNNNNNNNNNNNNNNNNNNNNNNNNNNNNNNNNNNNNNNNNNNNNNNNNNNNNNNNNNNNNNNNNNNNNNNNNNNNNNNNNNNNNNNNNNNNNNNNNNNNNNNNNNNNNNNNNNNNNNNNNNNNNNGAUCAAGCCGGUUGGGGCUGGAUGAACAGGACCUCGUGGAGAGCUGGAUGAACAGGACCACCCCGUGGAGGGCAGGAUGAACAAUAGACGGUGGAGGGCAGGAUGAACAGUAGCCCGUGGAGGGGUGGUUGAAUAGGAGCCCGUGGAGAGGGCUGGUUGAACAGUAGCCGGUGGAGUAGCGCGCUGUGGAGGCUGGAUGAACAGGAGCCCGUGGAUGAACAGUCACAGGUGGAGGCUGGAGGAGGUCGACGGUGGAUGAAUAGUAGCUCGUGGAGGCUGGAGGGGGUCGACGGUGGAGAUGAACAGUAUCCCGUGGAGUCCCGUUUUGCGGUACGCCACACCCCUCCCGAUGAACAGGACCCCUGUUUCGACCGUAGCUCUCCAACACAAGUCCGUUUCGUCCAUUUUGCGGUACGCCACACCCCUCCCGAUCAACAGGACCCCCGUUUCGACCGUAGGAGGUCCGUUUCCUACGUUUUGCGGUAUGCCAGACCCCUCCCGAUCAACAGGAUCCCGUCUUGAACGUGGCCGGUCGAACACAAGGCCGUUUCCUCCGUUCUGUGGUACGCCAGGCCUUGUUUCCAUCGCCUGUUCCAUCCAAGCCCUCUCGAUGAACACGACGCAUUCCGUUGCCUCCCCAUGAACACGACGCAUUCUGUUGCCUCCCCAUGAACACGACGAUGACGCUAUUUCUCCGUUCUGACCCAGCAAUGUACACGAGCCCUCGCCGUACGUAUGCGCGAGUAGGCGUUCGAGACCCUGCCCGUAUGUACACAUACGUGGCCGUAUUUUGUUUCUUGCACCUUGGCCGUUGUACGUACGUGUACAUGCUACGUGUGCGCCUCUACUACGACACGUGCGCGCCUCUACUACGACACGUGCGCGCCUCUACAUCGACCAGUAUGUACGUACACGUUCGCGACCAGAAUGACAACGCUACGUACGCUUCGACCAGGUGGGUCCCGACUGUUAGGGACUUCCUUGCCCGCGAAGAUGUAGCUGAUGGGUCCCAGCAGUCAGGGGGCGAAUCAUUUUUUUUUGCCUGGAUGCACUUCCUUGCGUGCGAAGAUGUAGCUGGUGGGUCCCAGCAGUCAGGGGGAAACGUUUUUUUCGCGAAAUACAGUGGCCCGUCCGAUGGGUCCCAGCUGUCAGGUGGAGGAAUCAUUAUUUUCCGCGUAAUAAGGAGGCACUUCCUUGCUGCGACCGUGGACCCAGCUGCCAGCCUCUCCACGUACAGUCCACGUCCGAUGGAAGUCGUUCCUCGACCACGUUGACCACACCGCGCCGAGAGCACCAGAGCGGUGGACGACGGCGAGGCCUAGGAAGGGGACAACACGAAGGCAGGAAAGACUCGGCAGUUGUUUCCCACACUGAGGGGAGUAUGAUUGUAUGAGGGUUUACUGGUUCGUCUGCCAUCGCCGGAGAAUAACAGCAGGUGUGGGUGAGUAGAGGGAUGGCUAGGGCAGCGAUGAGAGUACGGGCGGGCGGUGAGGCCUGCGCGGCAACACAGCCGGCCGCGAGGAGGAGGGAGCAGGCAGUCCCGCCGGCGCUUGUUUGAGCGGUCGGAGCAGGAAGAGCAGAGAUUGAAGAAGCACGACGGCCGUUGGAUGGACAUCCAACAGUCAGUGCUUGUGCGUCAACCUUUUUUUUAGGAAAGCCUCAAAUCUGUGGAAAACAGCAUACAACCGAUCUACCAUUAUUUCUAAUAAUUUACAGCCCAUUUGCUAAUUUUUAAGGUUUUUUUGGAGCCCAUAUUCUUUUUUUUUAGCAUUACAGCCCAUAUUGUGGCAAUGGUUAAAAAAUUAUACGAAAUUUUGCAUAUUUCGGUGCGGUCCGAACUGUUUUUAAUCCCAAAAUUUCGACUCACAUUCAAACUGAUUUUAAAAAUAAAUGUAUAUCAAUAUAAAAUCCAACAAAUUCUCCACGCAUAAAAAUUAAUGUAAUUUAAAAUCUUGAAAUGAAAAAGAUAUUUGAAACUAAUUGCCGGUUUGAUGUGUUUUAAAAAUGUACAGCCCAUUUCUCAUUACUGAUGGGCCAUUUUCUCGGCCAGCCGAAUGAAAGCUCCUCGUCUUGAAAGAUUUGCAGCCCAACAGGCCUGACAAAGCGACUUACUUGGCAAAUCAAAAAAAACUGUGCUGUGGCCGUGGACCAAGCUGUCAGCCUCUCCACGUACAGUACUCUUCCGAUGGAAGUUGUUCCUUGACCACGUUGACCACGCCGCGCGGAGAGCACCACGGCGGUGGACGACGGCGAGGCCUAGGAAGGGGACGACGCGGCAGUGGAAGCCCGCGCGGAGAGGACUACGAGGGUUCACUGGUUCGGCUGCGGUGUGAGGCUGCCGUCGCCGCAGGGCCUAGCCAGCGGUGGGAAUAGUAGGGGGCGGUGAGGCCUCUGCGGCAGCACAGCCGGCCACGGGAGGCAGGAGCAUGUGGCACGACCGGCGCUGCUUUGGGCGGCUGGAGCAAGAAGACCAGAGGUUGAAGAAGCACUACGGCCGUUGGAUGGACAUCGUACGGUCACUGGAGCUAGAAUCGUUCAUAUUGACUAAGUUGACAAAGCCCUUCGUCCCCGUCAACUUAGUAGGCCCACAAGUCAGCCUCCCAGCAAGGUGGGUCCCAGCUAGCCGGGGGAGUAUUCAUUUUUUGUGCGUAAUAAGGAGGCACUUCCGGUGGGUCUGAGCUAACAGCGGGGGGAACGUUUUUUUCGCGAAAUACGGUGGCCCGUCCGGUGGGUCCCAACAGUCAGGGGGAAAUGAUUUUUUUCGCAAAAUACUGGUGGCCCGUCCGGUGGGUCCCUGCUGUCAGGUGGAGGAAUCAUUAUUUUCUGCGUAAUAAGGAGGCACUUCCUUGCUGCCGUCGUGGACCCAGCUGUCAACUUCUCCACAUACAGUCCACGUCCGAUGGAAUUCAUUCCUUCCACGUUGACCACGCCACGCCGAGAGCACCAGGGCGGUGGAUGACGACGAGGCCUAGGAAGGGGACGACGCGGAGCCGGUGAAGACGCGGCAGUGGAUGCCCACGCGGAGAGGAGUAUGAGGGUUCACUCGUUCGGCUGCGGUGUGAGGCUGCCGUCGCCGUAGGGCCUGGCCAGCGGUGGGAAUAGUAGGGGGCGGUGAGGCCUCCACGGUAGCACAGUCGGCCACGAGAGGCAGGAGCAGGCGGCAUGACCGGCACUGCUUUGGGCGGCUGGAGCAAGAAGACCAGAGGUUGAAGAAGCACUACGGCCGUUGGAUGGACAUUGUACGGUCACUGCAGCUAGAAUCGUUUAUAUUGACUAAGUUGACAAAGCCCUUGGUACGUCAACUUAGUAGGCCCACAGGUCAGCUUCCGAAACGGUGCGCCCCAGAUGUCAGGGGGAGGGAUCAUUUUUUGGGCGGGUGAAGGUAGAAUAUCCGAGAUUGAAGAAGAAGCACAACAUCCGUUGGAUGGACAUCCAACGGCCACUGCUGCUAGAACCGUGUGUUGACUAUAAGUUGACAAAGCCUUGCAUACGCGUCAACUCUGUUUUUUUAGGGGACGCAUCAACUUAGUAAGGCUAGAAGUGUGUGGCAGAGAACUUAUAGCCCAUUUGAGAUUUGUAAGAAUGUGUAGCCCAUUUUUGAAUUCUAAUGGAAUUUACUACAGCCCAUUUACAGUUUGUUAAAAGUACAACCCAUUUCAACCAACCGUUCAAAACAGAAUUCAAUAAAAUUUCCCACAUUUUGAUGGGAUCCGAAAUAUUUUUAUCCCAAAAUUUCUAGUCAGAUUAAAUACAAUUUCAAUAUAAAUUUAUAUUACGUAAAAAUCCAAUGAAACAUUGCGCUCGCAACAAUUAAUGAAAUUAAAUUUUUCAAUAUCCAAAAAUAAUAUUUUAUAAAGUAAUCAGGUGUUUGGUGCAUUUUUUUAUAGUUACUGCCCAAUUUUUAUAAAUAUAUCCCAUUUAUUAUUUCUUAAAGCCCAUUUUUUUGUUAAGCCUAAUGCAUCCCUCCUAGGAAAGAUUUGCAGCCUAGCGGGGCGGAGAAUAACAACUUGACCUUGCCUGGGUAUUCCUAAAAAAGUAUAGCUGGGCUAGCCAUUUUCAGCUUGAAAAAAAUUAAUAUCUGGGCUGGAUAUCUGGCCUGGGCUAGACGGGUAACAGCCCGCCCAGUUAAUACCUGCAGCGAUGUUUUUGUUGUUGUUUAGAGGAGAAAAAUUAAUAUCUGGGCUAAACAUCGAAAAACUCUGCAGUGCUCACACCUCAAAAACACAAAUACUGCUCGAGCUGCUUGGUCCCAGCCGUCGGCCGUUUCUUGUGCAAUUCUCUUGUUUAUUGACUAGUACUACAUAGGUUGACAAUGGUGUGGGACCGUGAUGUCAGGAAACCAGGGGGAAGCAAAAUAAAUAACUCCAGCGAGCGCUUCCACCUCUGCCUCGUUGUCUCCCGUGGAAACCCCUUUCCUCCCUUUUUUGCUCGAGCAAGGACCAAUGCAUGCAGCACGUCCAUGCAGUUAUUAGGCAAGAAAUAAAAGCGCUUUGCAUGCUAUGAAUUACGAUGGCCUGCAUGGGUAGCUAAUAAGGCAUCCUCUUAACUGUUGUGAUUAAAUGUUGUGUUUAGAAGAGAGAAAUAUUCUUCUUUUCCACCAAUCUGCUUGCACCUAGGUCGUGAUGCACCUUCUAAUAUGACUUAUUCACCUAGACGGAGGGAGUAUAGUUUUAUACAUACAUACAUACAUACAUACAUAUAUAUAUAUAUAUAUAAUAAGGAGGCACUUGCGUACGCGAGGCUAUGGACCUGGUGGGUCCCCAUUGUCAUCCUCUCCAAGUAAAGUCAUCUCCUCGCCCGCGCGCGCUUUCCGCCCGAAACAGUCAGCUCCGCCCGCCCCGCUUCCCGGUGCAGGCGAUUGCUCCUCCUUCAAACGACACAAGUGUUGUCCGUCCGUCCAUCUGCCGCCCACAUUAAUGAUACGCGGUUGCCGAGGUGGCUACUCCGGCGCCACACGUCCGUCCCUCCGCCCGCCCAUCAUUGCUAUAUAAACUGCUGUGCCGGCCAUAGCCCCAGUCAUCCGCAUCCGUUCCCUUUCUCCUGUCCACACCACUACUGCCCACCAUGGUUUCCUCGCACUCCAGCGCUCUUUGGAACGGGCGGGCGACGGACCACAAGGAGAUGGUAGCCAUUGCUGCCGACCGGCUGGCCGGCAGGCAGCCGGAGGAUGACGACGUCCCAAUGGAGAACAUGGUAGUCGAUGAUCCGGCGCCAACCCCCUCCUCCGCGCCAUCCUCGCCAGUGCAUUGCACCAUGACCAUCGGCGAGGCCCGUGCCCAAUAUAUGUACAGUGUGAGGCAGAUGCGUUAGGAGUAGUUCCGGGAGGCGCAGGCCGACGCCGCCUACAACCACCAUCUCCUCCAGGAGCAUCUGCAGGCGGAGGAGCAGAUCGCCGCGGAGCGGGCGGAGCAGGAGGCGCUGCUCGACUCGUACCGCUCCACCCGCAAGGGCCGCCUUGAGCGCUGGCGGGAGCGCAUGCGGGUGGCAGAGGCUGCGGCCACCUACAAAGAGGCUAGCAAAGAGGGCAAUGAAGCGGGUGAGGCGCUGUUUGGCGAGACCGAGGACGAGGCAGAGGACAAUGUCGGCUCCAACGAGUCCCCGCUCCGCUGGCGUCAACGAGGCCCUGCUCCGCCGAGGCCCCACGGCACCACCAACGAGGCAGAGGACACUGCCGGCUCCGCCGAGGCGCCGCCCCGCCAACAACGAGGUAGAGGACAUCGCCGGCUCAGCCGAGGCCCCACCUGCCGGCAACGCGGGGGAGGAUUUCCAUCGCUCCGCUGAGGCGCCGCCCGCCGGCAACGAGACAGAGGACAUCGCCGGCUCCGCCGAGGUCCCUCCCCGCUGCCAACGAGGCCGCGCCACACAGAAAACGAGGAAGAGUAGAACACGGUAGGUCGCCGCCGCUCGGGUCCAAGUAAGGCCACCGCUGCUACCCUCCUGUUGAAGCCAAGCUAGGCGGGUUGACCAUUGACGGCCGGUUAGCUUCUUGGCGGCGAUGUGGAGUCGGCGAGUUCUGCUGGAGAAUAACGCUGCUUCUACUUAACUGCUGGUGCAGUUGGCUGACUGACACGUGGGCCCAACAGGCCACAUGUCAGUUACGCAACUGCAUGCUACGUCUUGAGCUUGCGUUGGUUUUCCCCGAAGAGGAAGGGAUGAUGUAGCAGAGUAGCGUAAGUAUUUCCCUCAGUUUUUGAGAACCAAGGUAUCAAUCCAGUAGGAGGCCACGCUCAAGUCCCUUGUACCUGCACAAAACGAUAGCUACUCGCAACCAACGUGAUUAGGGGUUGUCAAGCCCUUCACGGUCACUUACGAGAGUGAGAUCUGAUAGAUAAAAUAUUUUUGGUAUUUUUGGUAUAAAGAUGCAAAGUAAAAAGUAAAAGCUAAGUAAAUAGCAAAACAAUAUAAAAGUGAUGGAGAUUGAUAUGAUGAGAAUAGACCCGGGGGGGGCAUAGGUUUCACUAGUGGCUUCUCUCAAGAGCAUAAGUAUUCUACGGUGGGUGAACAAAUUACUGUUGAGAAAUUGAUAGAAUUGAGCAUAAUUAUGAGAAUAUCUAGGCAUGAUCAUGUAUAUAGGCAUCUCGUCCGUGACAAGUAGACUGAAACAAUUCUGCAUCUACUACUAUUACUCCACUCAUCGACUGCUAUCCAGCAUGCAUCCAGAGUAUUAAGUUAAAAACAGAGUAACGCCUUAAGCAAGAUGACAUGAUGUAGAGAGAUAAAUUCAUGCAAUAUGAAAUAAACCCCAUCUUGUUAUCCUGGAUGGCAACGAUGCAAUACGUGCCUUGCUGCCCCUUCUAUCACUGGGUAAGGACACCACAAGAUCGAACCCAAAGCUAAGCACUUCUCCCAUGGCAAGAACUACCAAUCUAGUUGGCCAAACCAAACGGAUAAUUCGAAGAGACUUGCAAAGAUAACCAAUCAUGCAUAAAAGAAUUCAGAGAAGAUUCAAAUAUUAUUCAUAGAUAGACUUGAUCAUAAACCCACAAUUCAUCGAUCUCAACAAACACACCGCAAAAAGAAGAUUAAAUCGAAUAGAUCUCCACGAGAGAGGGGGAGAACUUUGUAUUGGGAUUCAAAGAGAGAGAAGAAGCCAUCCAACUACUAACUAUGGACCCGAGGGUCUGAGGUAAACUACUCACACUUCAUCGGAGGGGUUAUGGUGAUGUAGAAGCCCUCCGUGAUGACAGCCCUCUUCCGGCGGAUCUUCAGAAUAGGCCCCAAGAUGGGAUCUCGUGGAUACAGAAAGUUGCGGCGGUGGAUUAGGUUUUUGGCUCCCGUUCUGAUCGUUUGGGGGUACGUGUGUAUAUAUAGGAGGAAGGAGUACGUCGGUGGAGCAACGAGGGGCCCACGAGGCAGGGGGCGCGCCCUAGGGGGGCGCCCCCACCCUCGUGACCGCCUCUUUUGUUCCUUAGAGCAGGGUCCAAGUCUCCCGGAUCACGUUCGGUGAGAAAUUCACGUUCCCGAAGAUUUUAUUCCGUUUGGACUCCGUUUGAUAUUCCGUUUCUUCGAAACACUGAAAUAGGCAAAAAAACAGCAAUUCUGGAUUGGGCUUUCGGUUAAUAGGUUAGUCCCAAAAAUAAUAUAAAAGUGGAAAAUAAAGCCCAAUAUAGUCCAAAACAGUAGAUAAUAUAGCAUGGAGCAAUCAAAAAUUAUAGAUACGUUGGAGACGUAUCAGGCAUCCCCAAGCUUAAUUCCUGCUCGUCCUCGAGUAGGUAAAUGAUAAAAAGAGAAUUUUUGAUGCGGAGUGCUACUUGGCAUAAUUUCAAUGCAAAUCUUCUUAAUUGUGGUAUGAAUAUUCAGAUUAGAAAGAUUCAAGACAAAGGUUUAUAUUGACAUAAGAAAUAAUAAUACUUCAAGCAUACUAACAAAGCAAUUAUGUCUUCUCAAAAUAACAUGGCCAAAGAAAGUUAUCCCUACAAAAUCAUAUAGUCUGGCUAUGCUCCAUCUUCCCCACACAAAGUAUUUAAAUCAUGCACAACCCCGAUGACAAGCCAAGCAAUUGUUUCAUACUCUAACUUUUUCAAAACUUUUUCAAUCUUCACACAAUACAUGAGUGUGAGCCAUGGACAUAGCACUAUGGGUGGAAUAGAAUGGUGGUUGUGGAGAAGACAAAAAAGGAGAAGAUAGUCUCACAUCAACUAGGCGUAUCAACGGGUUAUGGAGAUGCCCAUCAAUAGAUAUCAAUGUGAGUGAGUAGGGAUUGCCAUGCAACGGAUGCACUAGAGCUAUAAGUAUAUGAAAGCUCAAAAAGAAACUAAGUGGGUGUGCAUCCAACUUGCUUGCUCAUGAAGACCUAGGGCAAUUUGAGGAAGCCCAUCAUUGGAAUAUACAAGCAAGUUCUAUAAUGUAAAAUUCCCACUAGUAUAUGAAAGUGAUAACAUGAGAGACUCUCUACUAUGAAGAUCAUGGUGCUACUUUGAAGCACAAGUGUGGUAAAAGGGUAGUAACAUUGUCCCUUCUCUCUUUUUCUCUCAUUUUUUUAUUUGGGCUUCUUUGGCCUCUUUUUUUCGUUCGGAGUCUCAUCCCGACUUGUGGGGGAAUCAUAGUCUCCAUCAUUCUUUCCUCACUGGGACAAUGCUCUAAUAAUGAUGGUCAUCACACUUUUAUUUUUCUUACAACUCAACAAUUACAACUCGAUACUUAGAACAAGAUAUGACUCUAUAUGAAUGCCUCCGGCGGUGUACCGGGAUAUGCAAUGAAUCAAGAGUGACAAGUAUGAAAAUUAUGAACGGUGGCUUUGCCACAAAUACUAUGUCAACUACAUGACCAUGCUAAGCAAUAUGACAAUGAUGGAUGUGUCAUGAUGAACUAGAUGAUGGAAAGUUGCAUGGCAAUAUAUCUCGGAAUGGCUAUGGAAAUGCCAUAAUAGGUAGGUAUGGUGGCUGUUUUGAGGAAGGUAUAUGGUAGGUGUAUGAUACCGGCGAAAGGUGCGCGGUAUUAGAGAGGCUAGCAAAGGUGGAAGGGUGAGAGUGCAUAUGAUCCAUGGACUCAACAUUAGUCAUAAAGAACUCAUAUACUUAUUGCAAAAAUCUAGAAGUUAUCAAAGCAAAGUACUACACGCAUGCUCCUAGGGGGAUAGAUUGGUAGGAAAAGACCAUCGCUCGUCCCCGACCGCCACUCAUAAGGAAGACAAUCAAUAAAUAAAUCAUGCUCCGACUUCAUCACACAACGGUUCACCAUACGUGCAUGCUACGGGAAUCACAAACUUCAACACAAGUAUUCUUUAAAUUCACAACUACUCAACUAGCAUGACUUUAAUAUUAUCACCUCCAUAUCUCAAAACAAUUAUCAUGCUUCAAUCUUUUCUUAGUAUUCAACACACUCAAAAGAAAGUUUCACUAAUCUAGAAUACCAAGCAUAUUAUUAUUAAGCAAAUUACCAUGCUAUUAAAAGACUCUUAAAAUAAUUUAAGUGAAGCAUGAGAGAUCAAUAGUUUCUUUAAAACAAAUCCACCACCGUGCUCUAAAAGAUCUAAGUGAAGCACAUAGAGAAAAAUUACUUAGCUUAAAAGACAUAAGUGAAGCACAUAGAGCAAAAUUAUUACGCUCAAAAGAUAUAAGUGAAGCACAUAGAGUAUUCUAUCAAAUUUUAAUUCAUGUAUGGCUCUCUCAAAAGGUGUGUACAGCAAGGAUGAUUGUGGCAUACUAACAAACAAAUACACAAAUAAUACAAGACGCUCCAAGCAAAACACAUAUCAUGUUGGUGAAUAAAAAUAUAGCUCCAAGUAAAGUUACCGAUGGAAGUGGACGAAAAGAGGGGAUGCCUUCCGAGGCAUCCCCAAGCUUUGACUUUUUGGUGUCCUUGGAUUAUCUUGGGGGUGCCAUGGGCAUCCCCAAGCUUAGGCUCUUGACACUCCUUGUUCCAUAAUCCAUCAAAUUCUUACCCAAAACUUGAAAACUUCACAACACAAAACUCAAAAUAGAAAACUCGUGAGCUCUGUUAGCGAAAGAAAACAAAAGACCACUUCAAGGUACUAUAAUGAACUCACUCUUUAUUUAUAUUGGUGUUAAACCUACUGUAUUCCAACUUCUCUAUGGAUUAUAAACUAUUUUACUAGCCAUAGAUUCAUCAAAAUAAGCAAACAACACACGAAAAACAGAAUCUGACAAAAACAGAACAGUCUGUAGUAAUCUGUAGCUAGCACAAGAUCUAGAACCCCAAAAAUUCUAAAAUAAAUUGCUGGACGUGAGUAAUUUAUAUAUUAAUCAUAUGCAAAAAUAAUUAACUAAAUAGCCUCUUCAAAUAAAAAUGGCAUCAGUUCUCGUGAGCGCUAAAGUUUCUGUUUUUUAUAGCAAGUUCAACAAGACUUUCCCCAAGUCUUCCCAACGGUUCUACUUGGCACAAACACUAAUUAAACACAAAAAACACAACCAAAACAGAUGCUAGAUAAUUUAUUUAUUACUAAACAGGAGCAAAUAGCAAGGAAUAAAAAUAAAAUUGGGUUGCCUCCCAACAAGCGCUAUCGUUUAACGCCCCUAGCUAGGCAUAACGAGCAAGAAUAGAUCUAGGUAUUGUCAUCUUUGGUAGGCAAUCCAUAAGUGGCUCUCAUGAUAGUUUCAUAUGGUAAUUUUAUUUUCUUUCUUGGAAAGUGUUCCAUGCCCUUUUUUAAUGGAAAUUGAAAUCUAAUAUUCCCUUCCUUCAUAUCAAUAAUCGCACCAACCGUUCUAUGGAAAGGUCUACCAAGAAUAAUAGGGCAAGAAGGAUUGCAAUCUAUAUCAAGAACAAUGAAAUCUACGGGCACAUAAUUCCUAUUUGCAACAAUAAGAACAUCAUUAAUUCUUCCCAUAUGUUUCUUAAGGAAUCCGCAAGAUGCAAGUUUAGAGAGCAAUCAUCAAAAUUACGGAAAUUUAGUAAAUCACAUAAAGUCUUGGGAAUAGUAGAGACACUAGCACCCAAAUCACACAAAGCAUAAAACUCAUGAUCUUUAAUUUUAAUUUAAUAGUCGGUUCCCACUCAUCAUAGAGUUUUCUAGGGAUAGAAACUUUCAACUCAAGUUUUUCUUCAUAAGAUUGCAUCAAGGCAUCAACAAUAUGUUCGGCGAUGGCUUUAUUUCGACUAUAAGCAUGUGGAGAAUUUAGCACGGAUUGCAACAAGGAAAUACAAUCAAUUAAAGAGCAACUUUCAUAAUUAAAUUCCUUGAAAUCCAAUAUAGUGGGUUUAGCAACAUCUAGAUUUUUAUUUCUUUCAAUCCCACUUUCGUCAAUUUCAUCAUUAAGAUCUAAAUACUCCGAAUUUUUAGAAUGCCUUCUAGGUAAAGGAAGAUCAUAUUCAGUUUCAUCAAGAUUCAUAUUGCAAAAUAAAGAUUUAAUUGGAGACACAUCAAUAACUUUUAGAUCUUCAUCUUGAUUUUCAUAGGAAUUGGAAGAACACGCUUUAAUAAAGGCCUCUUUGGAAGCACGCAUCCUAGCGGUUCUUUCUUUACACUCAUCAAUUGAAAUUCUCAUGGCUUUAAGAGACUCAUUGAUAUCAUGCUUAGGUGGAAUAGAUCUAAGUUUCAAAGCGUCAACAUCAAGAGCAAUUCUAUCAACGUUCCUAGUCAAAUCAUCAAUCUUAAGCAAUUUUUCUUCAAUCAUAGCAUUAAAAUUCUUUUGUGAAGAAAUAAAUUCUUUAAUAUUAGAUUCAAAAUCAUAGGGCAUCUUAUUAUAAUUUCCAUAAGAGUUGUUGUAGGAAUUCCCAUAAUUAUUAGAAGGAUUACUAGGAUAUGGCCUAGGAUUAAAAUUCCCUCUAUAAGCGUUGUUACCAAAAUUAUUCCUACCAACAAAAUUCACAUCCAUAGAUUCAUUGUUAUUCUCAAUCAAAGUAGACAAAGGCAUAUCAUUUGGAUCAGAAGUAACACUCUUAGUAGCAAAUAAUUUCAUAAGUUCAUCCAUCUUUCCACUCAACACAUUAAUUUCUUCUAUCGCAUGCACUUUUUUAUUAGAUGAUCUUUCAGUGUGCCAUUGAGAAUAAUUAACCAUAAUAUUAUCUAGGAGUUCAGUAGCAUCUCCUAAAGUGAUUUCCAUAAAAGUACCUCCCGCGGCCGCUAAAAGAUUUCUAGAAGCAAAAUUCAAUCUGGCAUAAAAAUUCUGUAUGAUCAUCCACAAAUUCAAACCAUGUGUAGGGCAAUUACGUAUCAUUAAUUUCAUUCUCUCCCAAGCUUGUGCAACAUGUUCAUGAUCAAGUUGUUUAAAGUUCAUAAUAUCGUUUCUAAGAGAGCUGAUCUUAGCAGGAGGAAAAUACUUAGAGAUAAAAGCAUCUUUGCACUUGUUCCAUGAAUCAAUACUAUUCUUAGGCAAAGACGAAAACCAAGCUUUAGCACGAUCUCUAAGCGAAAAAGGAAAUAGCUUCAAUUUAACGACAUCAUUAUUGACAUCUUUUUUCUUUUGCAUAUCAUAUAAAUCAAUGAAGCUAUUCAGAUGAGUAGCGGCAUCUUCACUAGGAAGGCCGGCGAAUUGAUCUUUCAUAACAGGAUUCAACAAAGCAGUAUUAAUUUUACAAGAUUCAGCAUCGGUAAGAGGAGCAAUCGGAGUGCUAAGGAAAUCAUUAUUAUUGGUAUUGGUGAAGUCACACAAUUUGGUAGUAUCUUGAGCCAUCGCGACAAACAAGCAAUCUGACACAUGAGCAAACAAGAGCAAAUGGGCAAAAGAGGCAAACAGAGAGGGAGGAUAGAGAGAGAGGGCGAAUAAAACGGCAAGGGUGAAUUGGGGGGGGGAGAGGAAAACGAGAGGCAAAUGGCAAAUAAUGUAAUGCGAGAGAUAAGGAUUGUGAUGGGUACUUGGUAUGUUGACUUUUGCGCAGACUCCCCGGCAACGGUGCCAGAAAUCCUUCUUGCUACGUCUUGAGCUUGCGUUGGUUUUCCCCGAAGAGGAAGGGAUGAUGCAGCUGAGUAGCGUAAGUAUUUCCCUCAGUUUUUGAGAACCAAAGCAUCAAUCCAGUAGGAGGCCACGCUCAAGUCCCUCGUACCUGCACAAAACGAUAGCUACUCGCAACCAACACGAUUAGGGGUUGUCAAGCCCUUCACGGUCACUUACGAGAGUGAGAUCUGAUAGAUAAAAUAUUUUUGGUAUUUUUGGUAUAAAGAUGCAAAGUAAAAUGUAAAAGCAAAGUAAAUAGCAAAACAAUAUAAAAGUGAUGGAGAUUGAUAUGAUGAGAAUAGACCGGGGGGCCAUAGGUUUCACUAGUGGCUUCUCUCAAGAGCAUAAGUAUUCUACGGUGGGUGAACAAAUUACUGUUGAGCAAUUGAUAGAAUUGAGCAUAAUUAUGAGAAUAUCUAGGCAUGAUCAUGUAUAUAGGCAUCACGUCCGUGACAAGUAGACCGAAACGAUUUUGCAUCUACUACUAUUACUCCACUCAUCGACCGCUAUCCAGCAUGCAUCUAGAGUAUUAAGUUAAAAUCAGAGUAACGCCUUAAGCAAGAUGACAUGAUGUAGAGAGAUAAAUUCAUGUAAUAUGAAAUAAACCCCAUCUUGUUAUCCUCGAUGGCAACGAUGAAAUACGUGCCUUGUUGCCCCUUCUGUCACUGGGUAAGGACACCGCAAGAUCGAACCCAAAGCUAAGCACUUCUCCCAUGGCAAGAACUACCAAUCUAGUUGGCCAAACCAAACGGAUAAUUCGAAGAGACUUGCAAAGAUAACCAAUCAUGCAUAAAAGAAUUCAGAGAAGAUUCAAAUAUUAUUCAUAGAUAGACUUGAUCAUAAACCCACAAUUCAUCAGUAUCAACAAACACACCGCAAAAACAAGAUUACAUCGUAUAGAUAUCCACGAGAGAGGGGGAGAACUUUGUAUUGAGAUUCAAAGAGAGAGAAGAAGCCAUCCAGCUACUAACUAUGGACCCGAAGGUCUGAGGUAAACUACUCACACUUCAUCAGAGGGGCUAUGGUGAUGUAGAAGCCCUCCGUGAUGACGGCCCUCUUUCGGCGGAGCUCCGAAACAUGCCCCAAGAUGGGAUCUCGUGGAUACAGAAAGUUGCAGCGGUGGAAUUAGGUUUUUGGCUCCUGUUCUGAUUGUUUGGGGGUACGUGUGUAUAUAUAGGAGGAAUGAGUACGUCGGUGGAGCAAUGAGGGGCCCACGAGGCAGGGGGCGCGCCCUAGGGGGGGCACGCUCGUGACCGCCUCUUUAUUUCCUUGGAGCAGGGUCCAAGUCUCCCGGAUCACGUUCGGUGAGAAAAUCAUGUUCCCGAAGAUUUUAUUCCGUUUGGACUCCGUUUGAUAUUUCGUUUCUUCGAAACACUGAAAUAGGCAAAAAAAACAACAAUUCUGGGCUGGGCCUCCGGUUAAUAGGUUAGUCCCAAAAAUAAUAUAAAAGUGCAAAAUAAAGCCCAAUAUAGUCCAAAACAGUAGAUAAUAUAGCAUGGAGCAAUCAAAAAUUAUUGAUACGUUGGAGACGUAUCACUGCACCUGUAGUUAAGUCACUGAAGCUUCUGUUCGGCUCAGCAGGGCACAGGUGGGUAGCUUCGGUUAGUUAAUUAUACCUCCAGUGCACCCCUUUUUAGUUGAAGAAUGUAUGAAAUGUAAUGAAAUCUGGCAUGUUUAUAUGAAAUCCGACCGUGUAUGAAUGAAUUUAUUUCGAUUAGUUUGAAUUCCUGUAUCACUGGCAUUGGAUGAACAUGCAAAACAAUAUGUACUAGCAUUAUUCCCAGGGUGAUCACCUCGUUUGCAGCAGUUUCACAUGUACUCCCUCCGGUCCUUUCUAGUCUGCAUACAAGUUUUGUCUGUAGUCAAAGUAUCUCUACUUUGACCAAUCUUAUACAAAAAAGUAUGCACUUUCACAAUGUGCGAAGUAAAAAGGAACAGAAGGAGUACAAAGAGUUUGAGCGGGUUUUUAGCAUUUCUGUACAUUGCAACCAAACACACAGGCCUGGCAAUUCAUAGAGAACAUUCAAAGCAAUCGAUGAUUAUGCAUCUCAGCGACUCACAUGUCAGAGGCAAUAUUUAUUUCACAACUAAAGAAUAAAGAAAAAAUUGAUCGACGCUGCUGACAGCAAGGGCGUCCCAUUCGAAAAUAUCAAAUGCAUGUCUUGCUAAAAUCAAUGAGCAAAAUUUGACAAGGUUGUCCCAUCCCAAAAUAUCAAAUGCCUACGAUUGUGGAAUAGGCAGGGUUUGCCAUCAGUUCGGACAUUGAGAUGGCACCUCGUGCUAAAUAAACCAGCUGUUCUUUUUGUGCAGUUCCACCAAAAUCAACCAAAUUCGCGCGUAGCUUGUAUGAUUUCGCCCUUAUAUGUUGCAACGCCUUGAACUUAUCGACACCUCCUUUCUUGUGGUGGAAAUGAAUGAUUCGAUGUAUUCAUGAACAUUUUGUGCAGUUCCCAUUGAAAUGAAGCUGAGCACCCCUGUUUGCACAAAUAAAAAAAGUGAUUAGUAUAGAGCAAACUGUACUAUGAAUUGACAGUUUCAACAGGCACAUACAUGGUCCAUGUAGAGCACACUUUUAGAAAAUUGGAACUCACCAGAAAGAAUCCUAGAACAACAUUGUACUCGCGCAUCACAGCAAAAAAUGGAGAUUUUGUCAGGCCUUCUAAGCUGAAGUUAGUUUGGUCUUGUGGGGAGUAAUGUAACCAUCCUUCAACUGCUCCUUCUGCUGAUAAGAUAGAUAGGGCUUCUUCAUCCUGGCAUAAUCAGAACUAGUCACUUCACGUACUCCAUAUUCUUCUUCAGAGGAAGAUGAUCCUGUUGUGCAAAGACAAGAGGACUACUAAAUGCUAGCAUCACUGUUUGCUCGAAAAAAAGGAAAGGAAAUAUUUAAAACAACACAGAUGAAGCACUUCUCAAGGACAAUACCACUUUUUCAUGACAGCACCGGGAGUUGAUUUUUGUUUUUCUUCCCCUUGUUCUUCCCCUUCAUCACUUGCUUCAGUAACAAACAAGCUUCGCCUUCAAUGUAAGAUUUGGCAUGUCAAUUAGGGAGCACAAGUAUAGUACUAAACUUAAUUUUCUGAUGAAAGUGGCAAAAUACAGGCCAUCAGUUGUGAAAUAUCCUUAUCAUACCUCAAUGGGAUAUUACGGUGCACAUACAGAUUAGAAGUCUUGUCUCCAUUUGUGCAGUUCACUAAAAUCAAGCAACAUUAUCGUACAAGUAGCACAACAUAUGAAUGCACACUGCAAAAUCAUGUGAAAGAAGGCUAGUACUGACCUCUCAUGAUGCGGAAUUCAAACAACUCACAAGAAGAAGAUCUGAACCAAAUUCACCUUAACGGAUAGGAAGUAAGAUCUCCUCUUGUGCAGUUCCACUAAGAUCAAACAAUCAAGCAACAUUGUCGGUGUGACAUUUUGGUUGAACUGCACAAAACACUCUUAAAACAGAAGUGUUUUAUGCAGUGCAACAAAAGGUCACAAUGGCAACGAGGUGAAGUAGAUAACCCUGUUUACACAGAGGUGCAAAGGAAACAAUUAGUGGUCAAUAACGAUGGAUGACACAGAAGCCAACAAAAAGAAGCAUCUAUCUUAUCUAAAUGGGAAAGAAAGCAAGACAGUAGCAUUUCUCAAACGGUGGCAUUGAUUAAUAUUAACAUAGAGAUUAUAUUAACAAUAAAAUUCAUUAAACAUGUAAUUUGCUUUUAACUGUGGCAUUGCAUCAAUUUUCCAGCGGCAUUAUUAUAGGAUGUUUGUUUACAGGGACAUUUUGGUGUAGGGACUAAAAAAACUCCGUGUCAGUCCCAUCUAAACCAAAGAGGAGGGACUUUUAGGGACUAAAAGUGGGCAUUUGGGACUAAAGAAAUAAGACCCCGAAGGAGUCUUUUUGGGACUUUUUCCAACAGUUGGCCCUGCCACGCAUCGCACCUUGUCUCUAUUAGUUCAUUACUAGGGGUAACAUGGUCUUUUAGCAUGUCAUUUAAUAACCUCUAGUCCAUGUUUAGUCCCUGGAACCUAGCAGGUAGGGACUAGGGAGUUUUUAAGCAAACAGGGCCUUAGAUUAACAACAACUAAUGAGUUGCACGGGACAGUGGACGCACCAGCACCAUGUGCAUCUACCGAUGUACUGUGGUCAUGCACAGUCUGUUGCAACAAAGAACAAGCAACCAAGGAGCAUAUUUGUGUUGGUCCCGGUUUUGUUAUCUUUAGACGCCUUUCCCUAUGUGAGCGCAGAAAAUCUAAUCCUGCUCAAACUCUAUAGCCUUGUCCCUUCCUUUCCUUUUUGAACUAGUACUUUUGCCCCUUCCUUUCCUCUUUGAACCACGUCCUAGAUUUAUGCGAUACAACUUUCCCCCAUUCCUUUCCUCUUUGAACCACGUCCUAGAUUAAUGCUAUACAACUUUUCCCCUUCAUUUCCUCUUUGAACCACGUCCUAAAUUCAUGCUAUAUACAACUUUUCCCACUACUUUCCCCCACUCCUUUCCUCUUUGAACCACGUCCUAGAUUCAUGGUAUACAUGCAGCUAGAGCAAUGCAUGUGGAGUAAGUAAAUUAUACCUUAAGGUUCUUGGGGCGUUGUUCGGUGGGCGGCGGGACGACGGCGAAGAAGAAGGGGUCGGAGGCCCUCCCGCGCCGCCGCUGGGUGGAAAGUGAACAGCUGCACCGGUAGUCCCUCGCCAACGGCGACAGCGUUAAGCCUCCUUCCCUUCCCGGCGGACGGAUCCUGCCGGCUCUUUGAGCAGCAGUGAGGGGAGAGAGAGGCCAACAAAGUCUUGUUUAGAUCUGGAGAGGGCGAGAGAGUGUGAAGAGAGAAACUACAAGCGCUGAGGCUCCAGCAGGAGAGGGCGAGAGAGUGAGCGGACAGGCUAACCAGCUACACAGCCCUCCCGUUAUGUUCAAUGAGAGGGAAAUAACCUUUUAUACAUUCCUGCAUUCGUGUGACAAGCAUGCCGUGUUUUUUUGUGUGUGUGGGAGUCAUUGGGAUUUCAAUCAUAAUCGUGUCAUGUGGCUUUGGUGGUAAGACUAUCCACAGUGGUGCAGAAAUAAUGCAGCCUUAGUCACCUUACCUCUCUCCACGUAGUACGUUGGGUCCCACCAGUCAGAGGGUGAAACAAACAAAUUAAUAAGAAAAAUUAAAAGCACUAGCGGUGUAUCUUACCUCACACAUCUCGCUACUGCUCGGGAACACUGUCCAAUUGAUCCCUCUGUUCGCUCACGUACUAUUUUAAGUGAAUCCUUAUUAUAGCAUGCACACAAAUUUUGGCCACUUGUAUUCGACUUAAGUCAGUGUGCCACCGUAUCUCGUAUACUUACUACUUCCUCCAUCUAGGUGUAAUAAGUCACGUUAGAAGGUGCAACGGGACCAAGGUGCGUGCGUGUGCGUGUGUGUGUGUGUGUGUGUGUUUAACACCAUGUGUGUGUUAGAGAGAGCGACAGAUCGACCUACUCCUACAGAGAGAUGUUGUGUAGUGUACGAUUUUAGCCGCGAGAGUCGGUGCAUCCUCUCGUUUUCGGGCGUGUCCGGUAGGGACAUGCGGAUAGCUGCCACGCCCGCUCCUGACCAGCCUGGCCCACCCAAAGCCCCUCCAUCGCCCGCGCGCGCUUCCUGCCCGAAACGGUCAGUGCCGCUCCAAAGAAUCGGUGUCGCAUUCAUGCCCGGGCAGAGCGGACGUGACCUCUCACUAGCGCAAGAGUGAUGGUUGCUUCGUCUGUCCAACUUACUGUUGGGUCUAUGUGAUUUGAUGGCUCAUUGGUCUUUAUUACUGAGGUGGUAGGACUUCUGGAUGUCCCACGCUUUCGGCGAAAGGAGGUAUACUACUACUAGAUUACAAUUUUCUCCAUUCUUACAGAGGAGGCGUGCAAGAGCAGUGAAAACACGCAGGCUCAAUGAUUACAUGGACCACCUCACACUACUAUCACCGUGCGACACCUAACUCUUUACAUAGUACUCCCUCCGUUCCUAAAUAUUACUAGAUGAGUCCCCGCGCGUUGGCGCGGAACAGCGGUAUAUCUCUCUGUGCAAAAUUAUCGAUUUCACAGAACAAAAAAAUCUAUAUAACCGCAUGACAAAUGUGGUAGCCAAACUAAAUAAACUCCCAUCAUCAUUUUGAUCAUCCCACGUAAGGAAAAAAGAUCAGCCAACUCCUGAACUCCUACUGCAUAAUGGGAUUAUAUUUUUCUUUUUGACAUGUUAAUGGGACUUAAAAGCUCACUUACAUGCAUGCUACCGGUGCAUGCUUGCAUGCAGACAUGUUGAUGUGAUUUAAAGCCCACUCACAUGCAUGUGGCACGGUAUUUCUACAUGCUUGCAUGUGGCUUAGUGCGGAGCCUCUCAACGUCAAGAUCAGACGGCUAUUAUGGACUGAUUUACUUCAUCUAACGGCUACAUCAAUUUUGAUGACGUGGCUCAAGGAGAGGAUAGAGAAUUCCUAGUAGUGGGGGCUAGCUAUUACUAGUAGAUAUAAGUCUUUGUAGAGAUUCCACUACAUACAGAACAAAAUGAAUGAAUCUACACUUAAAAUGCAUCUAUAUACAUCUGCAUGUGGUUCAUGGUGAAAUCUCUACAAAGACUUAUAUUUAGCAACGGAGGAAGUACUAGUAUAGUACGUACUAUAAUUUAUCAGCGAGAUAAAUUUGUACAAUGCUAUGAAGCUUCCAGCUUCUGUUACAUGUAUCUUGCGUCCAAGGUUGCCCGUUGCAAAAUUUCAUCAAAUACUAAGGAGACUAACAUGCACGCUAUUGCAUCUCAAUGAUUGACAGAUCAUAGCAAAUAUGUACUCCCUCCGUUCCAAAAUAAGUUUCUCAACUUUGUGCAAACUUUAGUACAAAGUUGUACUACUACUAAAGUUGACACUUAUUUUGGAACAGAGGUAGCUAAAGAAAAAAAUGAUCCAUGCAGUUCCUAACCCUUGAACCAUGAACCCUGACCAGGCUUCAAUUUGCUGGCAACAUUUGAGCUUCCUAAUAAAUGAAGUUUGCAACCUUUUGACCAUCGGAUCAUUUUCUGCAGUUUCACCAAAAUUGAGAUGAGCAUCCCUGUGGCAAAGAAAUUGAACA